UUAGUCAAAAGAUAAAAUAGUAAAGGCCAUUUUGUUUUAUUUUUCCAUAAUAUUAUACAAAUAGUCACCAUGUAUAUAUACAUGGCACUGACAUGAUUGUGAAGGCCUACACACUUUCUAAUGGUUCUACUGGCUAUCAAAUUUUUUUACUAUAAUAGUAAUACAGGUAAUGCAGCAGCAAGUAUCACACUAUUAUUUAAUUUUGAUAGCCUUAAUUACCACCACAGCUUGAUGAAGAAGCAAAGGCAGUUAUGCCUCUAACUCAAAUGAUGCCUUCAUUGUGGGUGAACGACUCACGGGAUCAAUUUCAAUAGAUGCAUUGUAUCCAAACUUUGUAACUUUAAAUUUUGGUUUUCCUCUUUUCUCAAGGUUGGUUUUGAUUUGCCCCCAGUGAACAGGUUGUCUCUGGAUAUCAGUAUAGACCUGCAGCAUGCAUGCAAAUGGCAUGCAAAUGGUCAUAGAUUAAAUGAUUAUAUAUACGCAUUCUAACUAGUUAAUUAAUGAUAAGAUUGAAUUGAAUGCAACAAAUACCUUGCUGUUCUCAUCUAGUGGGUUGCUCCAGGCAACAACCCACUUGGUUCCAUCACGUCGCCUGUACACAAGACCAGCAACUGAACCAUGACUAUCAGCAUCAUCAGUCACUGAUUCAUGUGUAAACUCACUCGAAUCUCCAUCUUCAAUUAUUUCUGGGAAAUCCGCAUAAUGAGAGCCUUGCCAAACUUUCUUGUCAGUCAAGGUUAGAGCUUCGCUGGAAGAGUUCCAAAGCUUGCCGUUUGUGCAUUGUUGAGCUCUUUUCAUUUGAAAAUUAGCCAUGGUAGCUUUGUAUGUGCUUUGGUUAGCUAAAGUUUGUUUUGGUUGUGUUAUGCUUCAAAUAUUGCAAUACACACCUACUUAUAUACUAGUUUACACCAUGCAUGCAUUGUCCAUAACAACAACGUUUAUGCGCAUGAAAUUAUUUGACUUCAUUCACAUUAAAACUUUUUUAUAUUCUUUUUCCCUUUUUUUAUUCAUAUUCUUGAUGUGUCUUUUCACUUUUAAGUACAAAUUCUUUUCAAUUAAAGAAAUAUUUUUAAAGUAUUUGGAUUUUUUUGAUAAAGUAUUAUUUUUUAAAUUAAAUAAUUAACAAUAUAAAGGUAAACUACUUUCAUUAUGAUCUAAACUAUUAGUAAGUUUAUGUUUGGUUAUUCAAUUUAAAAAAAACAAGCUACAAAUUGAAUAUUAAACUAUUCAAAAAGUUUAUUUAAGUCAAUGAGCUAUUAAAGUUGUUGUUGUAUGACCUUCUCUAUUUGCACCACCUGUAUCUAUCAAAAGUUCUCAUUCCCCUUCUCUUCUACAAUUCACUUUUUUCUCAAGAAAUAACUUUUAACCUCGUGAAUCUGCGAACCAAAAUUCAAACAAAUUUUUUCUCCCAUCACUGACAUUGAUAGUCAAAUCAACUUGGAUAUAAAAUAUGUUCUACUACUUGUUAAUGGUUUUUGAUCCACCAUACCGAUCAUUGAAUCAUUGCUUGAAGCUUGCUAGCAGGACUUUAAAAUAAAACUUUAAUAACCUAGUGACUUCAAUAAAAACUUUCAAAUAGUUCAAUGACCAUUUUAUAAUUAUUUAAAAUUGAAUAACUAAAACAUAAAUUUACUAAUAAUUUAAUAUGAAUAAAAUAUAAUUGUUGGGGACUCAAACUAAACUCACAUCACAUAAUUAAAUAAAUAAUUUCAGCGGAUGUAUUACAUAAAAAAAUUAGUACAUAAUAAAAAAAGUCAUCUCAAAAUUAAAAGCUUCAAAAACAUACUUAAAUCUUAAUUAUAUAUUUUUAAGAAUUAUUGAAAUAAUUUUCUUUUACUAACUAGUGUCAGUUUCUAGUACUUACACAACUCCAUGUACAUCAUUAUCCUGGUAACCUAAUAGUCACCAAAGCAUAAGUAUACAUACAACUAGCGUGACUUAAACCCAAGCCACAACUGGAAUGAUGAACACCUUUAACUAUCAAGCUAUUACAUGAGAUUCAUAUUAAAUUUUAAUAUGUUAAUGAUAUGUUUGAAAUAUUUUUUAUAUUGAUACUGUAUUUGUAUUAAUAAUUAAAUAACUUUAAAUGUAAUUUAAUUUUAAUAACAUUAACCAUUUUUCCAUUAAACUUUGAAUCCCUUUGAAAAAAAUAGUGAUUUGUGUAUUAAGCAUAAAUUUUUGUUGGAAAAAAAGGGAAUAAAACUUUGCAUUUGAGAUGCUGAAAGGCUAAGGUAUUAAAGCAAUGAGACUUUUAGUAUGGAGCUGAAUUUUGUUAUAUUAUAAAAUAUGCUUUAAGUUUCAAGACAUUAUUAGUGGAGUUAGAUGUGUUUAGGUGACACUUUCAUGAUUUUGACAAGUUAAUUACUUGUUAUAUGCAAUGUUUUGUUUUUCAGUUGAUCAAUGAAUUAUUUUUCAUCAAAAUUCUUCUUGUUUCUGUUUCAAUCCAAGCUAUAUUUUCUUGUUCUUCUAGCUCGUGUUUCUUAUUUUGUUUAGCAAGUCACUAUUGCUUAAAGCUUAAGACUUUGCUGUAAUUGCUUAGUGAUAACUCUCAACUCCAAUAAUUUGUAUCGGGAGCUGAUUUCUUAGAUGACCUUUCUCUUUUCUACUUUAAAAAACAAUGUUUUCAUCAAGUUUCUCUCCAGCACCACCACCAGUAUUCAAUAGUGAAGCCUACCACAUUUGGGUAGUCAAACUGAAAACCUACCUGCAGGCAUUUGACUUUUGGGAAGCUAUCAAUGCUGAUGUUAAACCACCACCCUUGAGAGCUAACCCAUGGUAGCUCAAAUCAGGCAGCACUUUGAUGACAAAGCCAAGAGGUAUAAGGCAAUGUCAUGCAUCCAAAACAGUGUGUCAGACUUGAUUUUCACAAGGAUCAUGGCCUGUGAGACUCUAAAACAGGCUUGGGACAAGAUUAAAGAAGAGUUUCAAUGCACUGAAAAAACAAGACAACAACAAAUUUUAAACUUAAGAAGGGAUUUUGAAAACCUAAAGAUGAAUGAGUCAGAGAUAGUUAAACAAUACUCAGACAGGAUUAUGGCUAUUGUGAACAGCAUCAGAUUGCUUAGAGACCAAUUCAGUGAAGCCAGAAUAGUAGAGAAGGUUAUUUCAACCUUACCAGAGAGAUAUGAAGCCAAAAUCUCUUCCUUGGAAGACUCAAGAGGUCUGUCAAACAUCUCUUUGACUGAACUAGUCAAUGCCCUCUAUGCUCAAGAACAAAGAAGAGCUAGCAGACAGGAUGAGCAUCAAGAAGGUACCUUUUAAGCCAAGAGCAAACCAACAUCGAGCUCCUUUGGCUAUAAAGGGAAGAAAACUUGGUCAAACAAGCCUAGAAGAGAUGGAGCAAGAAGAAGGUAUCCACAUUGCUCUCUUUGUAAAAGGAUUAGCCAUUCAGAAGCAAACUGCUAGUAUAGACCUGAUGUGCAGUGUAAAAUUUGCAAACAAAUGGGCCAUGUUGAGAAAGUGUGCAAGAACAAAAACUAACAAAAGGAACAUCAAACUCAGCAGCCUAAAACAGAAGCUCAAAUGGGAGAAGAGAGUUGUAGUCAGGAAGAACAAGUAUUUUUUGUCUCUUGCUCAGCUACCAAAAGAAAAGCCACAAAAGGGUGGCUGAUUGAUAGUGGUUGCACAAACCACAUGACACCUGAUGCUGCUAUUUUCAAGAGCAUUGAUAGAAGCUUUAACACUAGAGUAAAAGUGGACAAUGGACAUUACAUUAAAGAAGAAAGCAAGGAGAUGUGCUGAUUGACACUCCUUCAAGUACCAAACUUGUUUCUAAUGUUCUAUUAGUACCUGAAAUUGAUAGAAAUUCUAAGUAUUGCUCAGAUUUUUGAAAAGGGAUACUCUGUAGUAUUCAAAGGCAAAGAGUGCCUGAUUAGUGAUCCAAGUGGAUCCAAUCUCAUGUCAGUAACCAUGACUGAUAGAAGCUUUCUUGUUGAUUGAAACAAGAUUUCAGUUAGUGCCUACACAACUGCAUUAGAUGAAUCCAAACUGUGGCACAAAAGGUUUGGCCAUGUCAAUUAUAAGUCUUUACUGCACUUGUCUAAAGAAGACUUUCUUGAAAAUUUCACAAAAACAGUUUGAAAACAGGAUGUUUGUGAAGUGUGUCAGCUAAGAAAGCAAGCUAGACUACCAUUUCCUACUAAUAAGGCCUAGAGGGCCUCUAAAAAAUUGCAAUUUGUCCACACUGAUAUGUGCGGCCCUAUAAAGACUGAAUCUUUGAAUGGCAGCAAGUAUUUCAUCAUUUUCAUUGAUAACUACUUAAGAUUCUGUUGGGGCUAUUUUCUCAAGUAUAAAUCAGAAGUAGCUUCAGUGUUUUCAAAGUUCAAGGCUAUAACAGAAACUCAGUCAUGGUGCAAGCUUAAGACACCAAGGUCAAACAAUAGGACAGAAUACACCUCAGCAGUGUUUCAGACCUUUUGUGAGGAAUCAGGCAUUGAACACCAACUCACCAACACCUAUACACCUCAGCAGAAUGGUGUUAGUGAGAGAAAGAAUCGAACUCUGAUGGAUAUGGCCAGAUGCUUGUGUUUGAAAGGAAUUUGCCAAAAAGCUUUUGGGCUGAGGUAGUUAGUACUGCAAUAUACCUUCAAAACAGGCUACCAACUAAACCACUGCUUGAAAAAACACCAUUUGAAGCUUGGUUUGGGUUCAAACCAUCAGUUUCUCACUUGAAGGUCUUUGGUUGCAUAUGUUAUGCACAUAUUCCUGUAGUCAAGAGGGACAAAUUGGAAAAGAAGUCUCAGCCUAACAUUCUAGUUGGCUAUAGCAAUGUCAAGAAGGGCUAUGAGAUUCUGGAUCCUACAACUUACAAAGUCUUUUUGAGUAGAGAUGUUGUGUUUGAUGAGAGAUCAAGCUAGAAUUGGGAUAAAAGUGAACCAGAAUGUGCUGGUCAAGACUUGGUGACAGGGCAAACCGAAGCUGAUAAAAAAUGUCCUAAGAUGGACAUAUAUCAUGAGCCUGUUAGGGGAACUAGACCACUAAGUGAAAUAUAUGAGAGGGAAAAUGUAACUAUUAUUGAGCCAAUUUGUUUUGAAGAAGCUCAAGCUCAAGAAGGCUAAAGGCAAUCCAUGCUUGAUGAAACGAGCAUGAUUCACAAAAACCAGACCUUAGAGUUAGUUGCAAGACUAGUUCACAAGAAGGUCAUUGGAGUAAAAUAGGUGUUUCAAGCCAAGCAUAAUACUAAUGGAACUUUGAACAAGCUAAAAGCAAGGUUGGUUGUGAAGGGGUUUUGUCAGAAAUAUGGGAUUGACUACCUUGAAACAUUUGCACCAAUGGCAAGGCUUGAUAUAAUCAGAUUAUUGGUUGCAUUAGCUGCUCAAAGGUAAUGGAAAAUACAUCAACAUGACGUAAAAUCUAUCUUCCUCAAUGGAUUUCUUGAUGAGGAGAUAUAUGUUGAACAACCAGAAGGUUUUAAAGUUGCUGGUGAAGAAGACAAAGUUUACAAGCUAAAAAAGGCCUUCUAUGGCUUAAAAUAGGCACUAAGGGCAUGGUAUGACAGAAUUGACACGUAUCUAGCAAGCUUGGAGUUCGAGAGAAGCAUUAGUGAGCAAACACUAUAUGUAAAAAAGGAAGGUGAUGAAACACAGCUCAUAGUCUCCUUGUAUGUGAAUGACUUACUGGUAAUAGUAGGAAAUAACGCUAUGCUGUCUGAAUUUAAAAGCAAGAUGGAGACUGUGUUUGAAAUGUCAGAUUUGGGUGAAAUGUCCUGCUUCCUUGGCAUGGAAGUGUCUUCGACUCAACAAUGAAUUUUCUUAAGCCAAAAGGCAUUUGCCUUGAAAAUUCUGAAUAAAUUCUCCAUGCAAAAUUGCAAGGCAACUAGCACACCAGUUACUGUUGGAGAAAAAUUAUCAAGCCAAUGUGAUUUCGAGAAAAUGAAUGAAUCAACCUAUAGGAGCCUAGUGGGAUGUUUGCUUUACUUAACAGCCACAAGGGCAGGCAUAAUGUAUGCAGUUAGUCUCAUAUCUAGGUUCAUGCACUGUUGCAAUGUGAACUACUUUCAAGCUACAAAGAGAGUCCUCAAGUAUAUUAAAGGCACUCUGAGCUUUGGGAUGAUGUUUACCUAGGUUGACAGCAUGAAGCUCCUUGGUUUUGCUAACAGUGACUAGGCAGGAUUGAUAGAUGACAUGAAAAGCACCUUAGGGUAUCUGUUUACCCUUAGUUCAGCUGUUUUCUAUUGGAGAUCAAAGAAACAGUACAUUGUAGCUCAAUCAAUAGCUGAAGCAGAAUAUGUAACAGCUGCAGAGUAAUUUGGUUAAGGAAGAUCAUGGUAGAUAUAAACUUGCAUCAAAGAGAAGCAACAUAGAUCAAAUGUGACAACCAAUCUGCUGUUGCAAUUGCAAAGAAUCCAGUGUUUCAUGGGAAAACAAAGCAUUUUAAGAUCAAGUUGCAUUUUGUUAGGGAAAUGGAACAAUCUCAAGAAAUCAGACUGGUUUAUUGCAGUUCUGAAGAUCAGUUAGCAGAUUUCUUGACAAAGCAUCUUUGUGUGUCAAGGUUCAAGAAUUUGAGAGCCAAGUUGGGAGUUUGCAGCAUGGAAGCCAAGGAGGACUAUUAGAGGUUGGCUUACAUGCAGCUCUUGAGAUCGGGCCAUGCAAUUAGCAGCUAAAGCACAUGCAGCUGUCAUUUUGAUGUUUUUGAUGAUGUCUUGUUUUAGUUACAAUUGAACUAAGUUUGUAAUGAAUUUGUUGUAAUUUGGUGCUGAUAGAUUUGAUAAAUCAACUUAACCAAGCGUGCAAGCAAUGUUUUAUAAGUUUCAAGACAUUGUUAGUAGAGUUAGGUGUGUUUAGGUGACACUUUCAUGAUUUUGACAAAUUAAUUACUUGUUAUAUGUAAUGUUUGGUGUUUCAGUUGAUCAAUGAAUCACUUUUUAUCAAAAUUCUUGUUUCUGCUUUAAUCCAAGCUAUCUUUUCUUGUUCUUCUAGCCCGUGUUUCUUCUUUUGUUCAGCAAGUCACUAUUGCUUAAAGCUUAAGACUUUGCUGUAAUUGCUUAGUGAUAAGUCUCAAGUCCAACACAUGGUUUGUUGGUGGGAGUUUAUUUGUUGUCAGGUUUUCUAUGUUAUGGUUCCUGGUUUGUUGUUUGAUGAUUCGAUGGAUGGACGCAGAAGUUGGAGAAAAGAUAGAGUAUAAAUUGAGACAAAAGAUAAAAUAGUAAAGGCCAUUCUGUUUUAUUUUUCCAUAAUAUUAUACAAACAGUCAACCAUGUAUAUACACAUAGCACUGACAUGAUUGUGAAGGCCUACACACUUUCUAAUGGUUGUACUGGCUAUCAAAAUUUAUUACCAUAACAGUAGUAAAGGUAAUGCAGCAGCAGGCAGCACAUUAUUAUUUAAUUUUGAUAGCCUUAGUUACCAGCAUAGCUUGAUGAAGAAGCAAAGGCAGUUAUGCCUCUAACUCAAAUGAUGCCUUCAUUGUGGGUGAACGACUCACGGGAUCAAUUUCAAUAGAUGCAAUGUACCCAAACUUUGUAACUUUAAAUUUUGGUUUUCCUCUUUUCUCAAGGUUGGUUUUGAUUUGCCCCCAGUGAAUAGGUUGCCUUUGGAUAUCAGUAUAGACCUGCAGCAUGCACGCAAAUGGCAUGCAAAUGGUCAUAGAUUAAAUGAUUAUAUAUACGCAUUCUAACUAGUUAAUUAAUGAUAAGAUUGAAUUGAAUGCAACAAAUACCUUGCUGUUCUCAUCUAGUGGGUUGCUCCAGGCAACAACCCACUUGGUUCCAUCACGUCGCCUGUACACAAGACCAGCAACUGAACCAUGACUAUCAGCAUCAUCAGUCACUGAUUCAUGUGUAAACUCACUCGAAUCUCCAUCUUCAAUUAUUUCUGGGAAAUCCGCAUAAUGAGAGCCUUGCCAAACUUUCUUGUCAGUCAAGGUUAGAGCUUCGCUGGAAGAGUUCCAAAGCUUGCCGUUUGUGCAUUGUUGAGCUCUUUUCAUUUGAAAAUUAGCCAUGGUAGCUUUGUAUGUGCUUUGGUUAGCUAAAGUUUGUUUUGGUUGUGUUAUGCUUCAAAUAUUGCAAUACACACCUACUUAUAUACUAGUUUACACCAUGCAUGCAUUGUCCAUAACAACAACGUUUAUGCGCAUGAAAUUAUUUGACUUCAUUCACAUUAAAACUUUUUUAUAUUCUUUUUCCCUUUUUUUAUUCAUAUUCUUGAUGUGUCUUUUCACUUUUAAGUACAAAUUCUUGUCAAUUAAAGAAAUAUUUUUAAAGUAUUUGGAUUUUUUUGAUAAAGUAUUAUUUUUUAAAUUAAAUAAUUAACAAUAUAAAGGUAAACUACUUCCAUUAUGAUCUAAACUAUUAGUAAGUUUAUGUUUUGGUUACUCAAUUUAAAAAAACAAACUACAAAUUGAAUAUUAAACUAUUCAAAAAUUUUAUUUAAGUCACUGAGCUAUUAAAGUUAUUGUUGUAUGGCCUUCUCUAUUUGCACCACCUGUAUCUAUCAAAAGUUCUCAUUCCCCUUCUCUUCUACAAUUCACUUUCUUCUCAAGAAAUAACUUUUAACCUCGUGAAUCUGCGAACCAAAAUUCAAACAAAUUUUUUCUCCCAUCACUGACAUUGAUAGUCAAAUCAACUUGGAUCUAAAAUAUGUUCUACUACUUGUCAAUGGUUUUUGAUCCACCAUACCGAUCAUUAAAUCAUUACUUGAAGCUUGCUAGCAGGACUUUAAAAUAAAACUUUAAUAACCUAGUGACUUCAAUAAAAACUUUCAAAUAGUUCAAUGACCAUUUUAUAAUUAUUUAAAAUUGAAUAAAUAAAAGUUAAAUUUACUAAUAAUUUAAUAUGAAUAAAAUAUAAUUGUUGGGGACUCAAACUAAACUCACAUCACAUAAUUAAAUAAAUAAUUUCAGCGGAUGUAUUACAUAAAAAAAUUAGUACAUAAUAAAAAAAGUCAUCUCAAAAUUAAAAACUUCAAAAAUAUACUUAAAUCUUAAUUAUAUAUUUUUAAGAAUUAUUGAAAUAAUUUUCUUUUACUAACUAGUGUCAGUUGCUAGUACUUACACAACUCCAUGUACAUCAUUAUCCUGGUAACCUAAUAGUCACCAAAGCAUAAGUAUACAUAUAACUAGCGCGACUUAAACUCAAGCUACAAUUGAGAUGAAUACCUUUAACCAUCAAGCUAUUAUAUGAGAUUCAUAUUAAAUUUUAAUAUGUUAAUGAUAUGUUUGAAAUAUUUUUUAUAUUGAUACUGUAUUCAUAUUAAUAAUUAAAUAACUUUAAAUGUAAUUUAAUUUUAAUAACAUCAACCAUUUUUUCAUUAAACUUUGAAUCCCUUUGAAAAAAUAGUGAUUUGUGUAUUAAGCAUAAAUUUUUUGUUGGAAAAAAAGGGAAUAAAUUUUUUGUUGGAAAAAAAGGAAAAAAACUUUGCAUUUGAGAUGCUGAAAGGCUAAGGUAUUAAAGCAAUGAGACUUUUAGUAUGGAAAUGAAUUUUGUUAUAUUAUAAAAUAUGCUUGAAUGGAAAGUUUUGUUUUUAUUUUCAUUAUAACAAACUAAAAUGAAUUAAUAUAUUAACUAAUAAACAUGGCUAUCAAAUUGUUAAUUGAUUGGACCACUAGAGGUUCUUCUGCAUUCUUAUGAUGUGAUUCUGGUGUUUAGCUUUGUCUGAUGUUACUCCUUUGUUAUGUUGGAUCCUUGGAAUUUGCCUCAUGAUUUUUCUCAAACGCAUAAUAAAUUUUACUUAAUUUUUCGUCAAUUUAUAUUAAAAUAGAUAAAUAAAAGUUAAUAUCUGUUAACUUUGCUGAUAUCACACAUACGUGAAUGACGCAUUAACAAUAAAUUAAUAUUUUAAAAUUUCAAAAUUUAAAAUUAUUAAAAAAGUAUAUAAUAUAUUUUUAAUCUUUUAAAAAUUAAUCAAUUGCUAACGUAGUAUACAUGUGGCAGUCCAUGUAGACUGACGUUAACAAAUAAUAUAAGUUCAAAAAAUAAAAUAGACAAAAAUUUAAGUAGAAAUUUAAAAUAAUUUUUUUAUAAAAUUAAAAAGUCAAAUAAAUAAUUAAAAAAAACACGUAGAAACAUACAAGUAACAAUUUCAACAUUGAAGUUAUCUCUACAGAAAAUACGGAUCUGUAUAUUCUUAUUCAACCAUGAAUUCAAUAUAUAAUUUUUAACUUUAAAUAUGAGAUAAUAUUUGAUGCAUUGUUAGUUUUUAAGUUUUAUGUACCAUCAAUUAAUAAUAUGAAACAUCAUUACUGGUAUAAAAUAAAAAGUAUUGAAAGACUUGAAAAUAAAUACAUUUAAUUUUAUUUUUUUAUUUAAACAUAAUUAAAUAUUAGCUAUAAUUUUUAUUGAUCUUUCGGAUUUUAGAUUCCAAUUUCUUUUGGGUUUUUAUUGGAAAAUAUGGACAUCACAUACAUAAUAAGGAUAAUUGAUAGGUUAGCCUAAAUUAAAACUGAUCUAAUUUGGUUAGAAUUUUAUUGGGUUUUAAUUAUUAAAUAAAGUAUGGGUUAAAUAUGUGUAGAUACUCUAGUAAUUGAGUUCUAAUCAACUUCUAAUUAGAAUUUGAUUAGAAUUAAUAUGCCAAGGUCAUAAAUAUUAGGGUUAUGGUUCCCAAAUUAUACACAAUAUAUCUUUUCUAAUAUCUCAUCAUUAGGAAAGAGAGAGUAGAUAUUUUCUGAAUUUCUUGUGGAUCAAAUCCUCAAGAUAUGGUAAAAAUUUAAGGAAUUCAUGGAUUCAAGUAUGCUUCCGCAUGUAGUUUUGUUCUUGAUUUAUUCUUGAUGAUUUGACAUGAUAGAUCCUGGUUUAUUCAGUUUUAUUUUAGAUUUAUUUUAUAAAUCUAAUAAGUGGCAUCCGAGCCUCGUCAUGUUGACUCAUUAAGAACGAAUUAAUUCUCUAUUUUUUUUGAUUCAUUUAUUUUUUAGAUUUUAUGAAUUUAUUAUCUCAAUUAUAAACAUUAAAUCUUUUAAAUUUAUAUUAAAUAUUUUAGGGUUUGAAAUAGAAAUUGGGCAAGUGAUAAUGCUUAUGAGGAUUUAUGUUGAAAUUUUAGGGUUUUAAAUUUUUUUUAUGAAUUUGGUUUUUGAGGAAAUUGUUGUGUGAAUCAAAUUAUAGUUUAUUUAUAUUUUUAGAUUAAAGUUUUGUUAAAAGUUGAUAUUGAUGCUUGCGUUUCAUUACGAAAUCAGACACAUUGAUUUUUCUUUAAUAAUUAUGCAUCUAUUUAAAAUAUAUAUAUAGAAAUUGAUAUAUGUUUCGUUUAUAUAUAUAUAUAUAAUAUGCAUGCUUUAAUUGGUUUAAUGCAUGUUGUUUUGGAAAAUUAUAUAAAUAUAUAUGAUUAUCUUUUAAUUUGAUUGAAAGAUGAAAUUAAGGUAAAUACUUUGAAACAAAUAAAUUCAGAUUUUAGCUUUUAAUUAAGGAUGUCUACUAUUUUAAAUAAAUUAGUUGAAAUAAAAUGCCACCAAAAUGACAUCUUUUGUGUAGAUUAGUUUAUUUGAAAUAUUAAGAUGAUUAUAUGUUUUUAUGAUUCAUGCGUUUAUUGAUUGACCCAAAGUUAAAUUAAUAUUUGACAGAAUUUCAACGACAUAUGUGGUGAUAAAUGUGUGACAAUUUUAAGGUAUUUUAUGUGAGCAAUAAGUUAGUCCAAAGAUUAAUUCACGGUUUGACAUAAUUUAUUGUCAAUGUUUGAUUGCUACAACAAGAGUACCGCUUACUGUUAAUAUUACUGUCCAAAGCUUUGAUAUUAAUGUUGUGUUUGGUAUCUUGUGAUGGGAUUAGUCAUUAUCUUGAAUUUAUUAUUUACUUAUGAAUAUUGAUUUAAGCUUGUUUUUGUUCUAUAUUUAGCUAAUUCAUCUUCUACUGCCACAAUAUCUGCUAAUAUAAAUUCUAUACCUAUGCUUAAUAGGACUAAUUUUAAGGAAUGAAAAAGGAACUUACUUAAAGUGCUUGGUUGUAUAGACAUAGACCUUACACUAAGGGAAGAACAAUCUGCACCUCUCACUGUGGAAAGCACCCCUGGUGUUAAGAGGGAUUUUGAGAGGUGGGAUCGUUCAAAUCGCAAGAGUCUAAUGAUCAUGAAACACAGCAUUUUAGAAGCUUUUAAGGGCACAUAAUCUGAAAGAUUACUCAGGCCAAGGGUUUCAUUGAUGAAAUUGAAAAAUCUUUUGCUAAAAAUGAUAAGAUUUAGAUGACAUCACUUCUGACUUCUUUGAUGUUUAUGAAGUAUAAAGGUCAAGGAAACGUAAGGGAGUACAUUAUGAAGAUGUUCCAUACUGCUUCAAGACUUAAGACACUUAAGAUCAAACUUUCUGAGGAAUUGUUUUUUCUUAUGGUUUUGGUAUCGCUUCCUGCCCAGUUUAAUCAAUUUAAAAUUAGUUAUAACUGUCAAAAGGAGAAAUGGAUCCUAAAUGAGUUCAUUUCUCAUUGUGUGCAAGAGGAAGAAAGGUUGAAGGAUGAUAAGUCUAAAAGUGUUCAUUUGGCCAAUGCCCCUAAAGAUAAGGGCAAUAAAAGAAAAUAUCAGAAUAAAGCUGCUAAAGGUCUAGCUCAAAAGAAACAACAAGAAGCUAUAGAGAGUUGUUUCUUUUGUAACAAGUCUGGACACGUAAAGAAAGAUUGUACCAAAUAUCAUGCUUGGCAUGCAAAAAAAGGUAUAAUUCUUAAUUUGGUCUAUACUGAGAUUAAUUUAGCUUUAAUACCUAGAAACACUUGGUGGAUAGAUUCUAGUGCUACUACUCACAUAAGUUUUUCUAUGUAGGGUUGCCUAAGUUACUGAAAGCCAAGUGAUGGUGAAAGACACAUCUUUGUGGGCGAUGGAAAAUCAGUAGAAGUGGAAGUGAUUGGGAAUUUUAGGUUGUUACUAGGAACUGGUUUUUAUUUGGAUUUAAAAGACACUUUUAUUGUACCGUCAUUUAGACAGAAUUUAGUUUCUAUUUCUUCGUUGGACAAAUUUGGAUAUUAUUGUUCAUUCAAAAACAAUCAAUUAAUUUGUCUUUAAAUUCAAAUGUUAUUGGAACUAGUUAUUUAAAUACUUAUGACAACCUUUAUUUUCUAGAAACAGUUGCAUCCUAGAAUGAAACCUUGCAUGUGGAAUCACAUGGUAUUAAACACAAAUUAAAUAAGGAAAACUCAUCAUCAUUAUGGCAUAGGUGCUUAGGUCAUAUCUCAAAAGUUAGAUUUGGAUACCUUGUGUUUGAUGGAAUUUUAGAGUCCCUUGACUUCACAGACUUUGAUGUAUGUGUUGAUUGCAUUAAGGGAAAAUAGACCAAAACCAAGAGAUUAGGUGCCAACAGAUCUUCAGACGUCUUAGAAUUAAUUUAUACAGAUAUUUGUGGGUCAUUCCCUAUGGCAUCCUAGAAUGGUCAAUAAUAUUUCAUAACAUUGAUAGACGAUUAACCACGUUAUGGGUACCUAUAUCUCAUUCAUGAGAAAUCUUAGUCUUUGGACAUGUUCAAAGCUUAUAAAGCUAAAAUUGAGAAUCAACUCAAAAAAAGGACUAAAAAUGUCAGAUUAAAUCGUGGUGGUGAGUACUACGGUAGAUAUGAUGGCUUAGGAGAACAAUGUCUAGGACCAUUUGCGAAAUUCCUAGAGAAAUGCAGUAUUGUCCCACAGUACACCAUGCUAGGAUCAUCUAGUAUGCCUGGUGUAGCUGAAAGAUGAAACAUGACUCUUAAGGAUAUGGUAAAGAGCAUGAUUGCUCAUUCUACCUUACCUGAGUCCCUCUGGGGAGAAGCAUUAAAGAUAGCAGCUUACAUUCUAAAUAGAGUACCGAAUAAAGCAGUUGCAAAAACACCUUAUGAGCUUUGGACAGGUCAAAAACCUAGCCUAAAGCACUUUCACACUUUGGGAUGUCUAUCUGAGGCAAGGCCUUAUAGGCUACAUGAAAAGAAAUUGGACUCCAAAACAGUAAGCAACUACUUUAUUGGUUAUUCUGAGCGAUCUAGGGGCUAUAAAUUUUAUGAUCCCAUAAUAAGGAAUAUUUUUGAGAUUGGAACUACAACAUUUUUUGAGGAUGUUGAGUUCGGGGAGAAAUAAGGUUAGAGACAUUGCUUUUGAGGAAGAAUUGGGUUCUAACUCAAUUCCUACUAUCUUUUUUUAUGAUUUUUAGGUUCUUAUACCUAUCAUUGAUCAAGAAGUGAAUCUAGAACCUCUAUAAGACAAUGUUGAACAACUCCUCAUUCAAAAUGAGGUGAUUGUUCCAGAAGAACAAACUCAACAACCUCAAGAACAAGUGUCAUUAAGUAGGUCUACAAGAGAAAGGAGAAAUGUUAUUCCAGAUGAUUAUAUUGUAUUUCUCUAAGAACAUGAGGAUGAUAAUGGAAUGAUGGAAGAUGAUACAAUCAACUUUCAUCAAGCCAUGAAAAGUUCUAAUUCUCAAAAGUGGAUUGAUGCCAUGAAAGAUGAGUAUAAAUCUAUGCAAGACAAUAAAGUUAGGGAACUUGUCCCAUUACUUGAAGGUGCAAAACCAAUUGGUUGUAAAUGGAUAUUUAAAACCAAGAGGGAUACAAACGGUAAUGUGGAGAGGUAUAAGGUGCGUCUUGUAGCUAAACGAUAUACUCAGAAACAAGUUAUUGAUUUUACAGAGACUUUUUCUCUAGUUUCAUCAAAACACUCCUUCAGGAUAAUCAUGGCGCUUGUUGCUCAUUUUGAUCUUUAGUUAUAUCAGAUGGAUGUUAAGACUACGUUUCUUAAUGGCAACAUUGAAAAAAUAAUUUAUAUGGUGCAACCAGAAAAUUUUGAGUCGGAAGAUUCAAAGAAUAUGGUUUACAAAUUGACAAAAUCCAUUUAUGGACUCAAACAAGCUUCCUUUUUAUGGUACCACAAGUUUCAUCAAAUAAUUAUUUCGUUCGAUUUUGAGAUGAAUAUUGCUAAUAAUUGUGUGUAUCACAAAUUCAAUGGGAGUAAGUACAUCUUUCUGGUUCUUUAUGUUGAUGACAUUUUGCUUGCCGCUAAUGAUAUAGGCUUAUUGCACAAAACCAAGAGGUUUUUAUCUAAGCAUUUUGAGAUGAAAGAUCUUAGGGACGCCACUUUUGUUUUAGGAAUUCAAAUACAUCGAGAUCGAUCUUGAGGUAUUCUUGGAUUAUCACAAAAGAUUUAUAUCAAUAAAGUACUCAAAAGGUUUGGCAUGCGGAGUUUUAGACCAAGUGACACCCCUGUUGCUAAAGGAGACAAAUUUAGUCUUACUCAAUGCCCUAAAAGUAACCUUGAAAUUCGGGAAAUGAAAAAGAUUCCCUAUGCAUCAACUAUUAGGAGUUUAAUGUAUGCUCAAGUAUGUACGCGUCCGGACAUUGCAUACAUUUUUGGGAUGUUAGGCAGAUAUUUAAGCAACCCUGGUAUAGACCAUUGGAUAGUAUCCAAAAGGGUUAUGAGAUAUCUUCAGAGAACAAAAUAUUACAUGCUUACUUAUAAGAGAUCAGAUUUUUUGGAGGUUGUAGGGUAUUCUGAUUCUGAUUUUGUCGGGUGCCAAGAUAGUAGGAAAUCUACAUCAGGCUAUAUUUACCUAUUAGCUGAAGGAGCUAUAUCUUGGAAAAGUGUCAAACAGACACUUGUAGCUUCGUCCACUAUGCAGUAGAGUUUGUAGCAUGCUAUGAGGCAUCAAACCAUGGAAUAUGGUUGCGAAACUUUGUCACAGGGAUGCACAUUUUGGAGAAUGUAGAAACAACACUCAAAUUAUUUUAUGACAAUAAGUCAGCAGGGCUGUACAUGAGUUCAUCUAAGUCAAAGCAUAUUAACAAAAGUUUCCAUCUCUUUAUUCAUUUUUAUAGGCUUUACUUUUGUUAGGAUUUGUCUUUCAACAAAAUCAAUUUCAUAUGGUAAUGUUACUUCAUGCUUUUUCCUAUUCCAAAAGGCAUUAGAGAUGUUAGAAUAUAUUGUUGACUCGAUUUCUGUUUUGAUUUGAUUUAUUCUUUUUUGAUCUUUUGUUUUUUCUAAUUGUUCAUUUAAUUUUUUUAAAACAUAUUUCUUCUUUAAGAAUAAAAAAUUAUUCUAUUUAUGAUUAAUUAAAUUAUUGAUUCGUAAUGAAUAAAAAUGUUAAUAAGUUAAGAUUUUUAAUAUUGUGAUUUGUUACUUUGUAAGGUUUGAGUAAAGAUAUAAAGGGGUUCCUAAUAUAAUGUCUUAGGUAAUAUCUUUUAUCAUUAAAAAACAUGUUUGAUGUUUGAUAUCUUUAUUACAAAUUUCUACAUUAGGGAUUUUGAUAUGUGUCUUGAUUUUCCACAUCUAUAACAUUUUAUCGUUUUAUCUUUUUUUUUCGAUUUUUGUUGUUUCUGUUAUUUACUAUAUUUCCUAUACUUUGAUUUUUUUUAUAAUAUUCUGAAAUAUUCUUUCAUAUAUUUUUUCAUUUUAUAGGGAAACAUGUUUUUGAAGAAGAAGGUUCAUUUCUAAUGUCAAAUUGGUGGCAGAAUGAUAGGCAAUGGUAGCAAUUUAAAAAUUCUCAUAGUAGAAACCCCUUGUAGGAAAUAAGAAAAUAAAAUGAUGUUUCCUUAGAGAACCAAUUCUUCUACAAGCUUUACCUCUAACCAAUACCAAGAGUUUGAUCAAACCUCAAACAACAAUGUUAAUGAAUAAGAACAUUAUGAAAAUGUUCACCGAUGUAUACUAUUUUUAAACCCUUCAAAUUUUUAUUUUACACUAGUAAUAAUGUGUCAUUUUAUUAUCACUUGAUGGUACAUAAAAUCUAUGCACCUAUGGUUAGGGGUGAACAAAGCUCGAUUCGAUUUGAAAAAAUUGAAAAAAAAAUCAAAUUUUGAGUAAUUCGAGUUUCGAGUUCGAGUCGAGUUGAAUUUUACAAUUCGAAUAAUAGAUUGGUGUAAAUACCCCUUUAAUCCAUGUCAAUUUUGAAAAUGAGCAAAUUGAUCUCUCUCAACGAAAAAUACAAAAUAACUCAAAAUAAUUUUUAAAAUUCAAAAUAUUUAUAAAAAUUCCAAAAUUUAUAUUUUUAAAAAAUAAAAAUAUUUCUAAAAAAUAUAUAAAGAAAUUUAAAAUUUUAUUUUUUUCUAAAAUAAUAAAUUUAGAGACCUAAAUAAGUUAAUUAAUGAUUCAAGUUUAUAAUUCUAAAGUAUCUUAUUAUUAUUAUUAUUAUUAUUAUUAUUAUUAUUAUUAUUAUUAUUAUUAUGCUUUGAAAAAGUUUUCAAAUAUAUAUAGUUUCAAUUGUAGGUGUUCUAGCAUUAAAUUAAUUAUACUAUAGCAAAAUUUUAAUUUGAUAUAUUUAAUUUUUUAAUUAACUGAACAAUUUCACUUGAUUCGAUUCGACUUGAAUUUCAUUUCACUCAAUUCAAUUUGAAAAAAAUUAAUCAAAUUAGAAUGAUAAAAUAGGAUUUAUCAACUUGAUUAACUUGAAUUUUUUUUACUAGAUUCAAUCGAACGCUAACCCCUACCUACGGUACAUUAAAUAUUCUCCCUAUAUUAUUAUUAUUAUUAUUAUUAUUAUUAUUAUUAUAGUUUUGGCUUUAUUUUAUUUGCACUUUGUAAUGACGUGAGAUAUUUCUAAGAUUACAAAUUAUUAUUAUUAUUAUUAUUAUUAUUAGCCAUAAAAACAUAAAAACUUUAAUUAUAUCAGAAAAUACAAAAAGUUAUGGUAAAAAACUUGACUCAGAAGUACAAGAGAGCCACAACUACCUCACUGUAAAACUAACUUCAAUAUCAGUUCGAAGGGGGAGUAGGAAAUUCAUCCUUGUCAAGAAUGAACACCAAAGAAGUUGGUGGUUGUCAAGUCCAACCUGUAACGCCUUGAAUAGUUUAAAUAUAUUUUUGUGAAAUUUGACAUAAAGGUGUAUUUGCUCAGUAGUUAAGUGUUUUAGGUGUGUGUAUCAGGUCUUGGGUUCAAGUCUCAUAUUUGGGGAAAAAAUUUAUUAUUAUUUAUUCAAGCAUUAUCCCUGUUAGGCAGGCUUAUAAAAUAUUGUUUGUUAAUCUAUAUCAAAAUGAGCCUGCUUGUUUGAGUGGUAAGGACUUAGUGUAUUGGAGGUCUUGUGUUUGAAUCUGUGCGUGAGUGUGAGUGUUAAUUUUUAUUUCUGUUGCCUGAUAGAGGUUCGGUGGAACUGGAACUCUGAGGUUGUUGGAUGAGAAUCUGAUGUCAGUUUUGGUGGGAUUUGUUGUUAGUGGGUUAGUCGGGGGAGUUAGGAUUUUCGUUAAUUUUGAUUUAUUUUACUUUUUUUUUAAAAUUUUUAUCUUUUCCCAAAAACCUCUCCCCUUUUUAAUUUUUUUUGUUUCCCACUAUCAAUUUUCUUUCUUUUUCAUCUUAUCGAUUUCUAUCUUCAUCUCCCUGUUAAAUUACAGUGCUUCGAUUCCCUUUUUUUGUACGUUUGGUAAGUGGUGGUAGUAAGGUUUUUGCUUGAGUUAAGGAGAAUUCUUUUAAAUCCGUUUAAAAAUGAUGUUGUCUUUUUCAUUAGUUCUAAUUUUUGGGUUGUUGGCAGCAGCGAAUCGGCAGGAUCGGAGCUCUCUUCUUGUGGAAUCGUAAUAUCGAGGAUCAUUCGGGAAGUUGGGUAAGUAAUGAACGCUUGGGUCUCGCUGUGAUCAAUUUAUUAUUUUGAUUUAAUUGAGGAUGCAAGACUAAUUUUGGGACGUGCUUUGUCGAUUUUUAGGUUCUUGUGGUCUCAGGAUUGUUUUCACAGCAAAAACAAACCAGGUGUGCACCUUAAACACGAAAAUUGAGGUUCGAAAAAAGCCGAAAAAUUGCACUGUUGACGCCACACGGGUGUGCACCCAGCUGUAUGGUUGGCCAUGUAUAAGACACAGUCGUGUGACUGACGAAGAUGUGGCCGUGCACAUGACACGACCUUGUGUCAGUGUGAGUGUAGUCGUGUGGGCCACACUAGCUAAGUCAGAUUGGGCGUGUGGGUUUAGGGUCAGGCCAUGUAGGCCACAUGAGCAAGGCCAAUCUAGGAGUGUGGGCCUACGUGGGCAGGCCACAUAGGCAUGUAGGCCCAGAAUUUUGAAAUUUUCCCUAGGGUCGCACGGGUCGUUUCGAUUGACUGUGGACCUACUGUAAGGUCGGUAAAGGCUAACCAAACCCUAAUUCAUGUGAUCUGAUAUUUUGAUAAUCUGAUUUGAGUAGGACAUUGAUAUGUAUGUAUGACUGUUCUGUUUGAGUAUAUAUAUAUGUUAUCUGUAUACAAGCAUGUUAGGCAUGUUAAUUCUGCUAAUUUUGAAUUUUGUAUCUGUGUUUGGGGAGAGAUUUGUAUAUGUAGAGGAAGUGAUCUAUAUGGCGACAUUUCGCCUAUAUUCUGGUAGAUCGACUACAUAUUAUCUAUGAUAUGUCGCAUCGACACUAUAUGGUAUGUAGGGAUGGUUGGGUAUUUUUAACCCCAUAUGAUGUGAUGGGAUGGAUGGAGAUGGUGUGUAGAGGAUGGGUGUAACGCCUUGAAUUUUACACCCAAAAGUUUAGAGAUUUGAGCAUAGGGGCAGUGGGGAGACUGCACAUAAAUGAUUAGUUGUGCACUCAAGUGACAAGAAUGGGCCUGUUGGUCUGGUGGUUAAGUGAGUCUUAGCAUACCUUGAAGAUCCGGGUUCGAGUUACGGGAGGCAUUUUUUUUUAGAGUCAUUGUUUUAUUUUUGUUUGUUUUAGUUAAUAAAUAUUUAGCUAUUAUAUUUUGUAAUUGUAUAUUGCUAUUUUUAUUUUUGUUUUGGACGUUCUUCUGUUUCUCUUUUUGGUUUUUGUUUCCCUUGCUUUUCUUUUUGAGGAUUAUUCGGAUUGCUUUUGAAAGUGAAUUGUCUAUGGAUUUUGGGAUUUGCACUCCUCCUUCGACUUCUUCGUCGUUGGGUCCAAUCACAACACAGGUGUGGGAUUCAAAUCUGGUUUACCUUUUCUUAUUAAUUGAUAUUUCAUUUUUUUGAAUUCCUUUCUUUCAGCUUUUCGUAACUAUACAUUAACCCCAUUCAUUUUUGGGUAUUGAGACAUUGUAAGAGAGGGGAAAGCACUAGUAUCUGAUGUACUCUUGGUGUGGUUAAGGUUAGGGACUAUUAUGGUGGCUUAAACGACGGUUUUGGACUAAUUUUGAGUGGUUUCGUGACCUCCCCGAUGACCACAUGGCUGUAUAACUCGGCACACGGCCGUGUGGAUUUAGGAACUAGGGUUUCGGGAUAAAUUGGGUACCAUACGGCCGUGUGGCUGAUUUGGGGAUUUUAUCAGAAUUCACACGAUCGUGUCCCUUCGGCACACGGGCGUGUGAGUUAGAGAAUUAGGGAUUUUGGAUUCGGAGUCAUAUGGAUGUGUGGUUGAUUUGAGGAUUUAAAGAUCCCACACGGGCAUGUGUUUCAGAACACAUGGCUGUGUCUGGUGGGCAUAUGGGCGUGUGAGACCCUCACACAGUAAUGUCUCCCCUGCACUUUAUUUUAGCGAUUUUUGACAAUGUUACAUGACCUGUUCACACGGCCGUGUCUGUAAUAUCCCGAAUUAGGGCCUAAUCGGAAUAGUGGUUUUGUGACCACAAAUCCGAGAUAGAAAUAAUUAUUUUAUAAUUAUUUUGAUGAUUAUGAUAUGAUUGCAUGAUUGUGUGAAAAUUUCGUGAUGAAAUUCUAUGCCUAAAGUGCUUAAAUUGAAAGUAAGGACUAAAUCGAAUAAGUUGCAAAACUUGCAUUCUAGAAGUUUUUUGUAUGAAAUUGUUUUGGAAUAUUAAUGAGGAGGUCUUAAAUAGCAAUUUGACCAAUUUUAAGUUCAUGGAAAAAAUUAGGACAUGGAAGGAAUUUUUGGAAAGUUUAGUAGUAAGGGUAUUUUGGUCAUUUAGUUAUUAAAAUGAAUUAAAAACAAAAUUAAAAGCCAAUUUUUGUCCAUCUUCUUCAUUAGGCCGAAAUUUCAAGGGUUCUCCAUAGCUAGGGUUUGUUUCAAGCUUCCAAGCUCCAUAGUAAGUGAUUCCAAGCCCCGUUUUUAAUGUUCUUUACGUUUUUGGAAUCCCGGUAGCUCGAUUAAGCUUAUGUUAGCAAUAAUUCAACCUAGGGUUUAUAUUUGGAAAAAUACCCAUAGGUGAAAUUUGUGUAUUUUGAUGUUUUAUGAUAGAAUAUGGGGUUUUAAAUUAUGUUAGACAACUUGUACUACUCGAUUUUAAGCAAAAACGAGUAAAAGGGCUUAAUCGGUAAAAAUACCUAAUAGUCACAAGUACAUGUUAGAGUGAGAAUUUGAUGUUGCCAUAGAAGAGAAAAGUGAUCAGCAUGUUGUAAAACAUAAGAAUAAGGAAUAAAGUUUAAUCCCGAGCCUAGGGGCAAAAAUGUAAAUAUGCAAAAGUUUAGGGGAAAAAUUGUAAUUUUGCCAAAAUUUGAGUUAAGGAUUAAUUUGAUAAUGUGGGUAUUAAAUGAGCUAAAUGUGUUAUUUUAGAUCAAGAAAGACGUGGAAUCGACCUCAAUCAAGGAAAAGAAAAGAUUGUGGACUAAAUUGCAAAAUCUUUAUAUUUUGGUACCAAGGUAAGUUCAUGUGUAAAUGUAGUAACAUAAUUGUCAUUUUAACCAAUUUAAUGUUGUUUAUAUGAUAUGAUGCUGAUUAUUAUCAUGAAAUAUUAUGCUUUGUGGUUAUUGUUGAAUAAUAUGUAAUUAUGUGAAUUACUUGAUGAGUAUGAACUAUCACCGAAGUACCGAUUUCGAUAUUCCGUGGAAGACGGCAAAGAUGUGUGAUCGAGGAAAACGCCCGUUUGAACCUUAGGAAUAGAUUAGGAUACAAGUGACAUGUCACUAGGAUGGUUGAGCAUCCAAACUCGUUGAGUUGAGUCCGAGUUCACUUAUGGAUGCGAAUGUCCGAACUCGUUGAGUUGAGUCUGAGUUCGUGAAAUGUAACUAGGCAUCCGAACUCGUUGAGUUGAGUCCGAGUUCACUUAUGGAUGCGAACGCCCGAGCUCGUUGAGUUGAGUCCGAGUUCACUUAUGGGCGGGUUACAUGGUAGCUUGAUUACAUAUGAGGCUCUUAUAUGCAAAUUAUCCAUGUAUCCGAAUUAUAUUCCGAUGUGUUCAACGGGUAAAGUUUUACUCAAAUAGAGGAAUACUCGAGAUGAAAAGAGACGUAUUGGUAAGUGAUGAGAAAUGGAUAUUUUGUACAGGUAUGUAUUUAACCCUCGGGUUGAGUGUUGAUUACAACCACGAUAAGGUAAUAAGAUGAUGGAAAAUGAUUAAAAAAUGUGAUAAGUGUGUUGAUGAUAUAUGCUAAUGUUGAUUAGUUUGAUUGUUUGUUAUGUUAUUUAUUAUUUACAUAUGAACUUACUAAGCAUUUAUGCUUACUCCCUCCUUCUUACUCAUUGUAGUUUUGGACAAGCCAGUUCAGGAGUCGGGAUAGGUUGAAGGCUCAGUCACACUAUCAGGAAGAUUUUUGGUAAAUGGCUUGUAAAUUUAAGUAUGGCAUGUAUAGCAAUAUACUUAUUUUGUGUAAAUGAUCUUAUGAUAUGGUGACAGAAUGGUUGAGAAAAUAUUUGAUAAUGAUAAAUUAUGAAAAUGGUAAGUUUAGAUUAUGUUUGAUGUUAAGGAAAACUAUUAUGAUACUUAGUGCAUAAAAACUCAUAAGAGGGAUGAAAUUUGCCAUAAACAGAAUACUGCAGCAACACUGACCCGAGUUUGAAAAUUUACUAAAAAUCAUAGCAAUUAAAUUUGGUGAUGGACUACAUAUCAAAUUUAAGCUUAUUAUGUCUAGUGUCACAUGAAACAAAUGAAACAGGUAAAGGAAUUAUAUGUUAGAAGAUAUUUGAAUUUUAGUGAAACAGGUUCAUAGCAGUUUCUGAAUCCCCUGCUCCUACUUUAGAAAUUCACCAUAAAUUUUAAAGAUAUAAUUAGGUGGUGUAUUUUAUAUCCUAAGAAUACUUAUUGAGUCUAGUUUUAGGAGAAACAAACCUCAUAGUCAUAUGAAUUUUUUACAUAGAGAAAUGUGGUUCAUAGUAAAUAGAGGUCAGACCAGUCAAGUCCUGAAAUAGGGGUAACUUUAACUAAUAAACUGUACUAAUUGGCCCAUUCAAAAAUUUUAUAAAAAAUUAGUAGAUAGGUAUAUGAGUCUAGAUUUAGGGAAAAUUUACGGAUCUUGAUUUCGAGUUUCGUAACUCGAGAUAUGAUUUUUCUUGUGACUGUGACGCAAGUAGCUUAAAAGCUGUGAAUAUAGAAACAAAUAAUCCAAAGUUCUAAAAAUGUUAAAUUAAGCUUAGUAACACCUCAUACUCGACUCCGGCGACGGUCUCGGGCGUGGGGGCGUUACAGUGUCCCCGCUUCACACAAGCGUGUGCCUCUAUCACACGGGCAUUUGGAUCACCACACGGCCUAGUUUGUCCCACACGACCGGGGCACACUGGCAUGUGGCCCUAUUUUGCUAGAUUUUGGUUUUAGGGCAAAUGUAAGUGCAAUUGGGACCUUGUAUGUUUCAACCCUUAGCUAAGCUUUAGUGAGGGUGUUUAGACUCUAAUCUGAGUUUGGAUAAUGUGUUAUUUGUGAUUGGUUGUGUGACAUGUUUGAUUCUGAACUUGGUUAGCUGGGUGAGUGUGUGAGCAACUAGUUCUAUCUGACUGUCUGACUACGUGUUAUCAAUAUGCGAGGUUAUUUUGUAAUUGAUACUGAACUCAAGUAAUGAGUGUGCACAUUUCUGAUUCUGAUUGACCAUAUAUGAGUGACUGUCUCUGGUUAACUAUCUGGAAAUUGAUAUUUUGAGUUUUGUGCAUCUGUCUGUAUACAUACAUUUGCAUGAAAUUGUUUUGGGUGGGACUUUGAAGAGAAGGAAGAUUGACUAAACUAAACUGUUAGCUAAUCUUUUGGUUAUUAGCCUUAAUACCCAGAGGGUUAUGGGCGGUCCCAAUACCCUGAGGGUCGUGGACAAUUUGACUGUACUGCGGACUACUACAUUAUACAGAACAUGCAUCAGUAUCGCUGCGUAUCAUUGACUGAACUAGAAGUUUUAUUACAACCUAAUAGUAUAGCGGUUUACCGUAUUGCGCUGUACCGCAUGUACGUUAGCUACGCUACGUACAACUAUUUGAUCUGGCAGUUUAUACUGCAUGUCUGUACCGCGGUUUAUCGCAUUGCAUGAUACAGCUUAUACUCUAGCUUUGCUGCAUAAUAUACGUGACUGGCAGUUUAUCUACAUACUGUUAGCCUCAAUACCCAGAGGGUCAUGGGUAGUCACAAUUCCUUGAGGGUCAAGGACAAUCCUGAUGGCCAAUGUUGCCGGAUAACCCGGGAUGACAUCAAUUGGAGUGCAGGGUUGGAUGGUCCUUACGAGGUCCAGAGUUGAGUGAUUGGUGGGAUGAGUUUAAAGCUCUUAUGAGGAGUAAUGAGGGACGAAGAGGUGUGUUGGCUAGAUAGGUGGGUUUCUCAUAACUCAAUUACAUUCAUAUGCAUCAUAUUGACUGCUCGACUGAAAUGUCUGAUUGACGGUUCGAUUGAAAGGCACUUGUGCCUAUGAGAAUUGUGUAGACUUUGACUGUAACUGUCUGACUAGAUAGUUCUUAUCACUGUUGAGAAUUACUGCUACUGUGCCUGAAUGGUACGUGAAACUGUGUGCGUCUGAUUGACUCAUAUGACUGUAAAGUAAUAUGGUGUAUGAUUGAUUUUGGGCGAAUUCGCUCAACUGUCAUCUGUCUGUCUGUAUGUUUUGCUUUUGAACUACUUCUAGUUCCCUAUUUUCGUUUUUGUAGUUUAAUUGGUUUGUUCUCACACUAAGCUUGAGUAGCUCACCCCCUCUUUUUUUUCCCCUUUUAGGUACAGUUUUGGAUUCUGUUGAUGGGAUCAGUACGCGAAGGUCUCAGACAGUCUCAGUGAAAGUGGAAUAUUAGUUUGUGAUUUUCAGUUUUUUUUUAUUCGUACUGUAAGAUUUUAUAAUAUUAUGGUACAAUUACUAUUUUAAACUUUUAUUCGUACAUGUUAUUCUCUUGUGGAUGGAAUUUUAAACAAUUAAACGUUUUGAUUUGUUUUAAGAUAAAAAUUGUCAGAAAUGGAAUUUUGAACGACUUGUUUUUGUAGAAAUCUUCUCAGGAUUGCUUUGGUGAUCAAUGUAGUAUUUCGAAUUCAGUCUUUACUUCUAGGCCGGGUUUGGGGUGUUACAAGGGGGGUAGGAUUCUGAAUAUCCAUUCUGUUUAUCUGAUUCUGAUAUCUGUAUCUAUUAUGGACUUAGGUCCGAAUCUGUAUCUGACUGUAUAUGAAAUAUGGUGUAUGUUACUUGGCUAUUUCUGUUGGGUUACACAGUGAGUUUACGAAAACUCACAUUUUUUUGUCUAUUCUGUUCAGAGGUAAUCUAUAGACUUAAGCGGGUUAGUGCGACAGAGGCUCAACAGUGACCACUUGACUGAGAUUUGUUUUUAUUUAGUAAUAAUGGUUUAUUUUAAAAUCUGGUUUUCUUAAGAGUUUGUAAUUUUUUGGGACUCUCUGGACUGUAUGAUUUUAACUUUUGGAUUUGGAUUUUGUUUUGUAUUUUUUUCCGCAAUGUUGACAAAAACACUAUGCAAACAAAUGGUUUUAACAAAUAGUUUUUAGAAAAACGAGCUUGGUUUUGUUUAAAAUGAUUUUGAAACUUCUACUUUGAAAUAAACAGUUAAUUUUAAAGAACAACUCAAAAUAGUUUUAGUAAUGUAUAUGUAUAAAUGAAUAUGUUAUAAUACCUAGAUGAUUUAACUAAUAACUAAACAUGAUUUUAUCGAAGUAUUUUCAGUUUCAAAACCCUUCAUCGUAACAUUCCUAGAUUCAGCCAUAACGUAUAGGCUGUGUUUGGGGUAUUACAUUUAGUGGUAUCAGAGCUAGGUUACAAAACUCAGGCUGUAAAUUUUGAGUUUCAAAAUUGUAUUUCAAAAAAGAAUUGGUUGAUAAUUUAGAUCAUUUUGAGUAAGUAUAUGGUACACCGAGUCUCCGGCGCCAAUACUCUAAGUAUCUCUAAAUUUAGAAAACACUAAAUUAGUACUUUUUAAAAUUGUACUAAGUUAGUUAGAGACUAAAGCCUCUGAAAUACUUCUGAACUUCUGAUAAAUUAAGUAUAAAAUAUCUGCUAAUAAAUACUGGAACUGAUGCAUAAAAUUCUAUAAUAUAGAUAAAAUUGAAAAUACGAUGAGCGCUCGUGGAACUCACGGUCGUAUUAUUUGUGGUUGUGGUGGGUGUCGUAGGAGGGCUCGAGCUAAGUAUUCUUCUCUGUGUAGUAUGCCAAAUUUAAACACAAGUGAGACACUAGUUUCACUUGCUAUUGAGACUGGGCCUCAAAGCCGCUCGGCGGGGGACGACGCAUUGUCCCAAGCCAUGUUGAGAGUAUUGGAGAGGGUCGUUGGACCCCAUUCUAGAUCUGGGGUUCGUAGGUCGGUAAUUGAAAUACUUCAGUCCAAUGAAGCUAAGUUGUUUAGGGGCGUCACUAGAGUCGCCCCUACUGUGGCUGAGUAUUGGUUAAAGGCCACUGAGAGGAUUAUGAACGACAUUGAAUGCACUCCUAAGAAGAAAUUGAAGGGUGCAAUCUUUUUGCUUCGUGACAAAGCUUAUCAGUGGUAGUUGUCAGUUGAGGAACGUACUCAACCAAAUCAUCUGAACUGGGACUAACUUAAGACUGCUUUCUAAGGAAAAUAUGUGGGUACAAUUUAUGUUGAUGCUCGUAGGCGUGACUUGAGCUUAUGAAUCUCAUGCAAGGUGAUAUGUCUGUGGCCGAGUAUGAGGCCGAGUUUCUAAGAUUGAGCUGCUACGCUCGAGCUAUGAUGGCAUCUGAGUAUGAGAAAUGUGUUUGUUUUAAGGACUGUUUAAGGGAUAGUCUAAGGGUUCUGAUUGCUCCGCUGAGGGAGCGUGAGUUUGUUGUUUUGGUAGAUAAGGCGAAGAUUGCUGAAGAGGUUGAGCACGUGGAGCACCUAAACAGGAAGCGAUAGAGAGGUAAGAACAAGAGGGAUUUGGUGCCCUCUAGUGCUGUUUAGAGGCCUAAAAAGUGGGCUAGACCUGAUUCGCUUGUUAGAUUGAGAGUUCGUGUUGCUCCUACUGGGAUUCAGCCUUGUGGUGAUUGUGAUAGGCCAUCCGAGCACGUGUUGGAAGAGAUUAGGGGCUUGUCUGCGGUGUGGGUCUUUGGAGCAUGGGAUUAGAGAAUGUCCACAUCGUGCUGAUCAGACGCAAGCUUUGGGACUGAGUUUUGAUCAACCUCAGAAGGCAGUACAACAACCACCUAGGGGCCAUAGACCGGCUAGGAGUGGUAAUGGUAUCGGCUGAUGACAGAAAGCACCGGGUAGAGGUGCUAAUCAGAUUGAAAUGAGGCAGCCUGUAUUGGUUUAUGCUGCUUGAUGCCGAGAGGAUAAUGACAUUCCUGAUGUGAUCACGGGUAUGUUUUUAAUUUUUGAUGCUCCAUAUACUGCUUUGAUAAACAUAGGUUCUACGUACUCCAAUGUAGCUAGUACUGUUUCUAGGAACUUGGGGAUUUUUGUUGAGUGCGCUUCUGGUGAUAUUAUUGUACUAAGUCCAUUGGGAUAGUCUAUUCGAGUAAAUAAACUUUAUAGGAAUGUUUCGUUAAAAGUAUAAGAGGCUGCGUUUUCAGAAAAUUUGAUAGAGCUACCAUUUGGGGAGUUCAACUUAAUUCUGGGUAUAGACUAGUUAGUUGAGCACCGAGUUAGGUUCAAUUGUGCGACUAAAAGGGUUGUUCCGAGGACCGGGGAUGAUAAGGAAGUGGUUGUGAUCGAUGAGCAUCGAGAUUACUUGUCUGAUGUGUUCUCCACUUUAGUGGCUGAGAAAUUGGUUUAGAAAGGGUAUGAGGCGUAUUUGGCCUAGUCAGUGUUUCAGUUCUAGGAACUCUUCUGUCAAGGAUAUUAAAACAAUGAAGGAAUUUUUAGAUGUUUUUCCUGAGGCAUUACCAAGUUUACCUCUAAAUUAGGAAGUUGAGUUCGGCAUUGAGCUUCCAUCAGGUACAGCUUCGGUGUCUAUCGCUCCAUACCGUAUGGCACCGAAGGAGCUUACAGAGUUUAAGGCUCAACUUCAAGAGCUUCUAGAUCGUGGUUUCAUCCAUCCUAGUAUGUCUUCGUGGGAGGUAUUGGUUCUGUUUGUAAAGAAAAAUGAUGGUACCAAGAGGAUGUGCAUCGACUACCGGCAGUUGAAUAAACUGGCUGUGAAGAAUAAGUACCCACUUUAGAGGAUUGACAACCUAUUUGAUCAGUUCCGUAAGGCUACGGUAUUCUAAAAAGUAGAGCUUCAUUCUAGGUAUCAUCAGCUUAGGGUUAAGAAAGCUAAUAUUCAUAAGGCAGCUUUUAGGACUCGUUAUGGGCACUACGAGUUUCUAGUUAUGCCCUUCGAUUUGACGAAUGCUCCGGCUACAUUCAUGGAUAUGAUGAACCGAGCUUUUCAGCCGUAUCUGGACCAGUUCUUCGUAAUCUUCAUUGACGAUAUUCUGGUGUACUCUAAGACUAAGGAUGAGCAUGGUGCGCAUCUUAGAGUAGUGCUUCAGAUGCUCCGAGAGAAACAACUCUACGCUAAGUUGAGCAAGUGUGAGUUUUGGUUGCGAGAGGUAACUUUUCUGGGACAUGUGGUUUCUGCUGAGGGGAUUCGAGUUGAUCCUUGAAAGAUUGAGCUUGUGCUUGAUUGGAAGCAGCCUAAGAAUGUUUCUGAUAUCCGUAGUUUUCUGGGUCUUUCGGGUUAUUAUUGGCUGUUUGUUGAAGGGUUUUCACUAAUUACGGCUCCUUUGACUAAGCUUCUGCUCAAGAGUGUUUCUUUCGUUUGAACUGAUAUGCAAAAAUCGAGCUUUGAAAAGCUCAAGUCCGUUUUGACUCAAGAUCCUAUUCUGAUAUAGCCUGAAUUUGGUAGGGAGAUUGUGGUGUACAGUGAUGCGUUGCACAUCGGUUUGGGAUGUGUACUGAUGCAAGAUGGUAAGGUUGUGGCUUAUGCGUCCUGUCAGCUUAAGUCAUAUGAGGGGAAUUAUCUGAUGCAUGAUCUCAAGUUAAUCGCGGUGGUGUUUGUGUUAAAAAUCUAGAGGCACUAUCUGUAUAGUGAGAGGUUUAUUAUCUACACCGAUCACAAGAUCCUCAAGUACCUCCUUACUCAGAAGGAGUUGAAUCUUAGGCAACGUUGAUGGAUUGAGUUGCUCAAAGAUUAUGACUGCACGAUAGAGUAUCAUCCUAGUAAGGCCAAUGUGGUGGUCGAUGCUCUUAGUCAAAGAACGAUGACUGAUUUGAGGGUUAUGUUCGCUCGUCUCAAUUUAUUUGAUGAUAGAGGUCUGUUAGCCGAGUUGCAAGUUAAGCCAACUUGGAUUGAUCAUAUUCGAGUUAAGCAGUUAGGGGAUGAUUCUAUGGUUCUGCGGUUUUGUUAGGUUGAGAGUCAUAGUACUUUUGAUUUUGGACUGAUUAAUGAUAGAGUUUCGUGUUUCUGAAGUCGGGUUUGUGUAUCGAGCAAUUGUGAUUUGAGGCAGUCAAUUUUGAGGGAAGCACAUAGUAGCCCUUAUGAUAUGCAUCCUGGUGGUAAUAAGAUGUAUCGGGAUCUUCGUGAGUUGUACUGGUGGCCGGGAUUGGAACGUGAGGUAACAGAUUUUGUUGGUUGUUGUCUGACAUGCCAGCAAGUUAAGGCUGAACACCAGUUGCCUUCAGGUUUGCUUCAACUUGUUAAGAUUCCCUUGUGGAAAUGAGAAUGAGUGACGAUGGACUUUGUUAGUGGAUUGCCCUUGACAUCCAUUAAGAAUGAUUCUAUUUGGGUCAUCGUGGAUCGAUUAACCAAGUCUGCCCAUUUUAUUCCGAUUUAGACGGACUACUCUCUGCAAAAGUUAGUGAAGCUCUACAUCUCUGAGAUUGUAAGACUGCAUAGGGUUCUGGUUUUGAUAAUUUCUGAUAGGGAUCUUUACUUUACUUCUCAGUUCUGGAGGAAACUGCAUGAGGCUUUAGGUUCAAGAUUGGACUUCAGUACCGCGUUUCAUCCUCAAACCGAUGGUCAAUCUGAGAGAGUGAUUCAGAUACUGGAGGAUAUGCUUCGGAGUUGUGUGAUUGAUUUCCAAGGUAGUUGGGAGGAUUUUCUGCCGUUAGCUGAGUUCGACUAAUGUAACAGUUUCCAGUCUAGCACCCAGAUGGCACCUUACAAGGCUUUGUAUGGUCGUAAGUGUCGUACUUCGCUAUGUUGGACUGAAUUGGGUGAGCAACGAAUUUUGGGUCCUGAGUUGGUUUUCGAGACUAAAGAUAAGGCUAGACGAAUUCAGGAUCGUCUGAAGGCGGCUUCUGAUAGACAGAAAUCCUAAGCGGAUCUGAAAAGAAGGGAUAUCCUCUAGUCACAAUCAAACCUUCUUUGAUUCUGAUCGGACCAUCUGUAUUUAACUGAACCCAAUUACUAGCAAGCUAAGGAUAUUAAAUUUUCGUGUUUAAUAGUUUUUAGAAAUUAUAUUUUGUAUUAAACUUUUGUCUGAAUUUCUUUCAAUAUCAAAUUACUCUUUAUAACGUAUGGUAUUUUAUGUCAUAUAUAUAUUUUUUAAAUUGUGUACAUGCAAUUUAGCCUGUAUAAUAUUAAUGGCAUUACUAGAUUUAAUUUUUUUUUAACUUUUGAAAUUUUUUUCUUUUACUAUUUUUAAAGAAUAACCAAAUAUUUAGAAUUCAAUCAAAUGAGAAUUUAGUUCAGUUGACAAAAAUAGAUAUCUUGAAUCUUGAGUACUUCAGUUUAAGACCUACUAUGCACAAAUAUUUACGUAAGGUUUUUUAAUUUUAAUUUAAUUAAUUUUAAUUUAGUUUUAAUCUCGAUUAUAUUAGAACGAUCGAUUUAUGAUUAUUUAUAUUUGUAAUUAUAUUGUACUUGUUACGCUAAAAAAAAUAAAAUUAUUUCACUUUUCCUUUUCUUUCAGAAUAUUUCAUAUUAAUUCCUAAUCGAUCCAGACAUCUGUUUUGUGGUUGCAUCCACUUUAAACUUCAUAAUUCCAAAAUAAGGUGAGCAAAUAAAAGGAUUUGCCUUCCAAUUAUAUAUUCUCACUAAAGGGAAUAUGCAAGUGCCUUCGUUCAUCAUCAUCAUGUGCAUGUGCUUGAUUUUCCCUUUUACCUGGCUAAUUGAAAUGUAUACAUGGGAGUGUGUAUAUAUACAUGCUAAUUGUCACCAUCUUUUAAAGCAUAUAUUCAGCUCCCUGAUAAAUUAUAGAGGAAUAUAUGUUUGUUAGCAUCCUUAUUUAUUAAAGUGAGAUGUUUAAUAAAUACGAGAUUUAUGAUACACUUACAUUUAUAAUAUAAAUGAAAAAUAAAGUUAUUUAACAAACAUAUUUAUUAAAAUUCAUAUAAUAAGCAAUUGAUAUUUUUUAUUAUAAAUGUAAAGUUAAUUGUUUACCAUGCUUGAAUUUAGAGUUGUCUAAGUGUUGAGUUACUCGUCUGAACUCGAGAGUUUGCUCGAAAUAUGAGAGGGUUUAAACAAGUAGACAAAGCUAAAAAAAUAGACUUAGGAAAAUAUAUAGACCCGUUUCCUAUUCGAGCUAGGCCUUGAAUAGAGUUUUUAAGCCCGAGCCUAACCCGACCUGAAUAUAUAUAAUUUCUAUAUUGAUUCUAUUCCUUUGCUGGGUAUGGAACAUUUGAAGGUGUGCAAUUUACUUACGGCAUGUUUGGUUGGGUGUAUUGGCUAUGCCAAUACACCCCUAAUCGGUGGGCCCCACUUAAGCUCCCUUUAUUCCGUUGUUUGGUUCAUGGUAAUGCUAUUACGGGUGUAAUCUAUUACUGCCCUAAUCGGUGAAAUCCAUCGAUUUGUAAUACAGCCCUUUUGCUCAGAUUAGGUGCUGCAUCCAAAUCCCUCCCUGUUUUACCCUCCCAAUUGGCUUCCCCAUUCCAUCGCCUCUUCCUUCGUUCUACCUUCGUUCUACCUUUGCCUCCCGAUUGGCUUCCCCAUUCCUUCGCCUCUUCCUCUGUCUCUCAACCUCUUCUUUUCUUUUUCUUUACAACCAGUCACUCUUUCGUUUUGCCUUCUCAACCAGUCGACCUUUUUCUUUUCUUUUUCUCUGUGUCACUCCUUCGAUUGCUCUCAAUUGAUGGGUUUCCAGGUUACUGCUACUGAAAGGUAAAGGUUUCUAACUCUCUUUUGCUCUCAAUUAUCCUGUAAUUGUUCUAACUCUCUUCUUCUCUCUGUACUGAGUUUUAAUGGCUGUCUUGUUAGUGUCUUCUUCAUUGCACUUUCAGGGCCUGAUCAUAUAAACUUCAUCGAAACACGGAAUCUUUUGUUUCUUCUUCUCUUUUGCUGGAGUUUUUGCUUUAAUUUUCGGUAAAAAUUUCUUACUAAUCUUUGAUUUUGGUUGUUUUCUCAUUGGUUGAUCUUUACGGCCCUCAUGGAAUCAAAGACCUGAAAGUUUAAAGGGAAUUUUCCUUACUUUCUUGAUAAAAUUCAAUUUAAAACAUUCCAAUAAUUUUUUCCACCUUGUGAUUGGUAAUUUUUCACUUCUUAAUUCUUUUUGAAUAAUUGAGUUAUCUACUUCGUUAUUAGAUGAUUAUUGUUAUGAUUAUUUGAAGAACAGUAACUUGUGUACAUGGAGUUUAUUUUGUUCUAAUUGCGUGACAGGUUUUCGAUGCUUAGUUGCAUGUUAAACAGAAAUCCAGAAUGAUCCUAUCAAUGCAAGAAAAGUCACAGUUUAUUCCAAUUUACAAUCAUUUUUUUCUUUUUCUAUGUGUGUUUUUAUCUUGUUAGGAUUAGACUUGCUCAUAUUCAUUUUCGUUCAGUAUGUUGUUUUUUCUAUUAGAUUUUCAUUUUUCUGGAUUGUUCUUUUAAAAAAUGAAUGAUUUUUCCUAGUAAUCUAAUUUAAUUUGUGUUUUUAUGUUAUGGGGGGCUAAAAUGAUUAGUAUUCUUCUCCAGCAAAGAGAAUGAAGCCAGAGGUUUCUUCGUUGAAUCCCUGUGCAGCAUCAUACAUACCACUUGCCAAAAGGGAGGGUUCCAUAGCUAAAGAUAUUAAGGCUGGAAAUGAGUCUGCUUGGUUUGAUCCUUCCUCACGUAGCAAUGCUUCACUUGAAUCUGCAAUCCCUGGCAUUGGAAACCACCUGGUUGCACUGAAAAGCGACCCUGGUCAUGGUUCUUUGAUGCAAAAUCAGGGUGAAAUGAGUGGCGAGCAGAUUAUGGAUGAGGAAUUCGACAUGGAUUUGGAGUAUCUUCGCAUGAUGUUCCCCGGUUUGUCCAAUGACUCUGUUCUGGAUGUCUACAUGGCUAAUAAUGGAGACUUAGAAGCCACUAUUGACAUGCUGAACCAACUUGAGGUAAAUUUUGCCUAUCUUUAUUUUAUAAUUUAUAUAACUUGAUUGUCUGAGUGGUCUUGCUGGAUUAGUUUUCUAUAUUAUUUUCAUCUCGAAUGUUUCCUAUAUUAUUAGCUCCUCUUACUGUUCCAUCCUGCAGAUUUCCAAGUGUCCCUCUAUGAAAGUGCUAGUAGUGAAGUAAUUGAAUUUAUGAAUAAUUUUCUGAUGUUAUGGGUAACAUAUUUCACUUGUUUUUAACUGUAUGACAUCAAAGAGUUAAGGAUGUUAGUCUGCAUUCAGGCCUAUUUCAGCAUAACCAUGGUUUUUCUUCAUUUGUUUUAAUCCUCCCUGUGCAAAUGAUAGAGAUUUUUCAACCUGUUUUUGUCUCCCACCUUUUGAACUUUCAUAUGAUUUUAUACAUUGAUUUAUGUCAAUGAUUUCCCCACAUAUUUUGUUCUUAUGGAUCGUAUACCUUCAGAUGCUUUUAUUGUUUUUAUUCACCUCACUUUCAGUUGAAUAUAUUAUAACUGAGGGUUGUGUAGUGUUAUCUUGUUCAUAUAAAUUUGUUUGGAAAUUUACCUAUUCUAUAAUGCCAUUAAUAAUGUAUGCUAAUUUGAAUAUUGGGGAUAGGAUGUUUUCCUCAUGCUGCUUGCUUCUUGUUUACUCAUUGUACGGCAAGUUCUUUCUUUGGUUUCAUUAGAAGUGAUUUCUGGAGUAUUUGUGAUUUUGAUUCUUGAAUUAGUUUAUGGUUGGGAUUAAAAAUGCACAUUUUUGCCCUUAUUUCAGUAUUCAUGUACAUUGGAUAGUUCUCUUUGUUAGAUGUACACUGUUGAGUCCUCUGACACUCUUCCCGACACAUUGGAUAUCGGUGAUAUCUCUGAAUUUAUCUCUUCAGCAAACUGUGGUACUCUUAAACUGAAGAAUGUGGCAGGUGAAACCGGCGCGUCUUCAUUAGGCUCUACAGAAUCAGCUGUUACCUCCUGAUUGACAUAAUCAAAGGGGUUUCAGUGUUUCUAGUUUUAGUUGUAUCUCUCAGUGGAUAAGAAGUGUACACAAGUAGGGUUCUUCUUCAAGGUUGAGAAAUGUAGUACUUUGCUUUUAACACUUGAAGGGUUUAACAUUGGAUGUGUAGUUGUAUGCUGUAACAUUUGUUUGGUCGCUCAACUUUUUCUACAUUUGUUUGGCGAUGGAAGAGUAUUUGUUUUGUUUAUGCCUUUGCUGGGGGUUCAUUUUCUCUAUAUAAUAUAAUAACUUAUAUUAGAAGUAAAAUUGUAUUUUGCUUUCUACUAAAAGAAUGGGCAAAUUAGUUCGUGUACGUAAGAUUAAAGAGCAAACUAAUCUUUUUGUUAAAAAUUUCAUCCAUUUUUAUAAUUAAAACCGGUCUUUAUAUGUCGGCAUGAGGUACACGUGGUACAUUACAUGUAAUUGUCUGAUUAUUUUUAUUGUUAACAAUUGAUCUUUUUACAUAGUUUGUGAUAUAUGCACAAAUGAGGUGAAAUUUAUUAAAUUUUAUUCACCGAAUCUAUCAAUUUUCAAAUUUGGAAAAUCAGUCGACUUGCAACGACUUUUUGGAUAGGAUCAAACAUUCUUGGAUUGAGAUAUUUUCAUAGUGUUUGGAGAUCUCUUAAUAUAAGAAUAUUAAUUAUUAAGAAUUUUAUUAAAUUAUAUAUUUUAAUUAUAAUAUAUUUAAUAAUAAUUAUGUUUAAAUAUGAUUAAAAUAUUUAUUAUUGAUAUUAAUAAUCUUAUUAAAAUUUAAAUAACAAUAACAAUAAUAAUUUACCAAAACAAAUUUCUGCUAAUUAUUAAGAAUUUUAUUAAAUUAUAUAUUUUAAUUAAAAUAUAUUUAAAAAUAAUUAUUUUUAAAUAUGAUUAAAUUAUUUAUUAUUGAUAAUAAUAAUCUUAUUAAAAUUUAAAUAAUAAUAACAAUAAUCAUUUACCAAAACAAAUUUAUGCUAAGGGUAUUCUAGUCAUUUUAGUUUUUUCCAUUAUGUUAUUACACCUCUAUUCCAUUCAACCAAACACAAGAUUACUAUUACGCCUCUAUUCCAUUACAUUCAACCAAACAGUUGAUUUGCUAUUACACCUCUAAUCCAAUACACCUCUAAUCCAAUACAGCUCUAAUCUAAUACACAUCUAAUCUAAUACAGCGAACCAAACGCACCCUUAGUGAUACUGAUGAUGUCUAAGUUGAUUGUAAUUACAUUUAUAAGAUCCCGAUAGCUCUGCAUAAAGGUUUGGAUAAGAUGAUUUGGCGUUGCUCUAAUAAUGGAUUAUAUUCAAUAAAAUCAGGAUGCAAGUUAGCCUCUGAUUUGUAUUCAAAUUUUGUUUCGAAUGAAGCCGGCGGUCCUCGAUUGAAGAUUUGGAAUGGCCAUUUCCAAUCGGAGGUGAACUAUUUUACUUGGAGGUGUCUCAGAAACUUUAUUCCUACCAAGGCAAUGUUAAUUGUUAAAGGAUUAAAUGUGCCUUCUAUUUGUGCUAAAUUUUAUAUAUAAACUUACGCCCUGUUUGAGAAUGUUAAUCAAUUAAAAAUUAAUAUUCAAUUAAUUGAAAAUUGAUAUGUAAUUUUAGUUGAAAUUUGAUGAAUUGUUUUUUUUAAAUGGAAUGGCAAUAUUUGCAUGAUAUUUUGAGUUCAAAUAUCUUUAUGAUUAAAUUUUUAUUGAUUUAUUAUAUGUAAAAAAGAUUAAAAAAAGAAAGAAAAGAACAUUAUCACAAAAAUAUAAUUUAAUUAGUAUAUAAGAGAAUAUUUUAAUAAUUUUAAAAUUGAAUUGAUAAUCCAUCACACUGGUAUAGAUUAACUAAGGAGUGUUUCAAAGUGUUGAACGCCUCAUGGUCUGGAAAACAUGGCCAUAAAAACAAUAUACUAAACACAUAAGUGUAAGACCCAAAUUUUGCCCAAGCCUAAAAUAUUUACAGUCCAAUUACAAAACCCAAUAUUUAACCUAAACUAUCAGCCCAAUUAAGACCUAAAACAAAGACCCAAAACCAAGCCCAACACGGCCCAAACUAACAAAAACCCUAAUGCCUCGAUAGGCCCAAAAUCUAAACAAAUUUCAGCCAAAAUAUGGAAGCAGAAACCCAAGUGCGCCGCUCCCUACGUGGUGUCAGCACCUUCUCCGCUGCAACGCUGCCACUGGCCUCCUCCACGCCUCUGACAGCACCUGCAAAACCAAAGCAACAAGCAAAACAACAGCAGAGACAACAGUGGCAACAGAGUAGAAGGAAAACGAAAUAGUAGAAUAUAUUGUAAUUUAUUCGACUAUAAAAGCCUCGAAAAAUCAGUGUAUCAAGGGGGAUUUUUGGGGAACAAAAAAGAAAAUCGAAUAAAAGAGAAGAAAUUUGAAACAAAAUACCAAAGGUGAUUCCUCUUUUUAUUUUUUAUCUUACUUUCAAAAAAAAAACAAUAAACAAAAGCACGGUCUUUUUACCUGAGUCGACAAACCUUCCACAGUGGUCGAAAGUCCUCUCCGGCGUUCGAAACCUAGAACCCAUAGUGGUUCGGCGUGAUGAUUUUGAGAGACGUUGUAACGCCUCAAUUUUUAGGCCUGGAAGUAUUGGGCCUUCAGUCUAGGUUUGGGUAGAAGACGGCCCGAAUAAUUUGGAUGUUAUUAUUAUUAUUAUUUCGUAUGUUUAGUUUAGUAAUUAAAUAAAUUAUGAAGGGUUUAUGGUGUGGGAAAAGGUCCAGGGCUCGGCCCAUAGCUUUAGCAAAAUUAUUAAAUUUUGCCUCUUAAGGGAAUCUGGGCAAUAGGCCUUAUUAAUAAUUUGGGCAAGGAACUUGGUGUUGGCCGAAUAUUGGACUCUUGAGGGGCAAGAGUUGGCCGACCAAGGGUCUUUAGUAUAGGCAAUUCGGCUAGGUCUAUGUGCUUUUUAAUUUUUCCCUUGACGAAUAUUAUUUCCCUUCUCCCCUCUCUUUUAUUCAUAUUUUCUUUUCUUUUUCCCUCAUAGCCGAACCCAUACCCCUUUCUUUCUUCAUUAUUUCUUAAAAGUCAAAUCUUAUUAUAGCCGAACCUCUAUUCUUUUCUUCCUUAAAAAGCCAAAACCUUCAUACCUAUGGUUUAGGAAGCCGGAUCUUUGGCUACUUGAACCUGUUUCUUCUAACUACGGUAGAUCGGGAUUAAUAUCAUAGAUAUGAGCACUUUUCUGGGCCAAACAAUGAUUGGUAAGUUUGUCGAAUAAUUUUUGUUAAUUAUUUAUGAUUUAAUAUAAAAGCGGAAACCCCUUAAGGGUGGCUAAUGUUUGGACUAAGGGCGUUAGUGCCUCUUUUUUUCCAUUGUAUAAGCAUUAGCGUGGACAAAGGGGCGUGCAGUAAAGGGUUUGAAGACUGAUUCGGACUGGAUAUCUAGAUCUAAUCCAUAUUUCGGCAAAAAGGUAAGAACUCUAGGGUUAAGGGAUGUUGGCCGAAUUUGGUAAGGGGGAAUAGUACGUAGUUUGUUUUCGGUAUGUAGACUGACAUUUAGUAACUCGAUUGUAGGAAACCCCUGAGUGGAUCUCGCCAGCAUACCGUUACAAAUCAGGUGUGUAAACGACACCCACUCAUAGACUAGAUCGGCAAAAGCCGAAAAGUUGAAAUGCCGAAAAGUCGGCAUUUUGUGAACUUGCGAGCGUGCGAGUGCUCGUGAGGUGGUUAGUUUGUUAAAUUUUGGUAAUCACAAGCGGUAUGAUUGUAGAGUGCGCAAUUUCAUGCACUUCAGUAUAUUUGGGCUUAAUGGGCCGAAAACGGGUUAGUGGGCCAACGGGCCUAAUUCGGUAAAAACGCUCGGUAGGUGUUUUUGUUAAUGCGUUAAUAACUAUAAUGAGCAUGAAACCCUAAAAAUAUUGAUAAAAUUACUGAAAUACCUCUGUAAGAUAGAAUUACCGUAAUACCCCUAAAGGGGUAAGUUUACGAUUACGCCCCUCGAGGGUAAAUAACUAUUCUUACGCUAUAAUCUGACUGUCUUUCUGAAGCAUGCCUUGUUAAUUAUAUAUAUAUAUUCUACAUACAUGUCAUACUGCAUGGGGUUGGGUUUUGUUAUGGAGGAAGAACCCGUUCUGGUAGCUGUGCCACAUAUUCUGAUAUAAGCAACUUGGCUGCGGAUUAUAGUUAGUGCCGCAACUGGUGCUAACACUGUAAGUGUAAGGAUGGCGUGGGUGAUUUAUUCCCCACAGGAAGUGUAGGGAUGGACGGAGGCAAGUGCAGGGUUGGAUGGGGUUAUCAUGUGUUAAUCAUAUGAGACUGUUUUAUUAUGGGCCAACUGUAUUGAAAUGGGCCCAACUGUGUUGAUAUGGGCAAGGCCCAAUAUAUCUCGACUUGUAAUAGGGCUAUCGCCCAGAUUAAUACUAAUAUGGGCUAGACCCAGUAUACUUUGAUAUUGUAAAGGGCUAUGGCCAGAUUAAUAUUGAUAUGGCCUAAGGCCCAGUUAGCCCUGAUUUUUGAAUAGAGGUUAGGCCUAGUAAAGCUUGAACUGAUUUGGGCUCUGGUUGGGAUACUUUACACACUGAGUUUUCUAAACUCACCCCAUUUUUUCCUAUCUUUGCAGGUGAGCCUUAGAUCGGUGGACUUGGAGCUGGAGGGAUUCAGAGUGGCCAUGUGGACUGUUUAAAAUAAGUGUUUAUACCUUCACUUUUAUUUUAGAUUAUUUCCUUUAUGUUUUCGGGUUUUUAAUUUGUAAUAAGGCUGCUUUAAUUAUUUUUUAAUUGUUUUUAGUAUGUUUUGUUAGCUUAGAUAUGAUAUUGUUUUAAUUGUUUGAAAUUGAAUAGCUCUAGGGCGUGUUUUCAAAAGAAAUUACCUGAUUUCAAAAUAUCGCGAAACAAGACAAAGCUUCCGCAACGAAAACGUUUUCAAAAUUUAAUAAGUGAUUUCAAAUGGAUAAAAACGAAAUGGUUUCUUCUAAACAAUCGCUCAGUUAAAGUGUGGCAAUGGUUGUGUGCAUGUCUAGGAGUGGAUCCGUGGAGAGCUUGGUACUUAAGCAGUCUAAUAGACUCACCUCCUCUUUUCUAGUAUCCUACCUGGUGCACAGCUCCCAUUCACUUUAAUUUAAAACGAAAAUAUUCUUUGAACACUAAGAAAAAAAUUUAGAUAAGACAUGAGUUUUCAGUUACGCUUUAAUGUGACACGUUGGAUUCGACCGUAAUAUAUGAGCCGGGUUUGGGGUGUUACAUUUAGUGGUAUUAGAGCCCAGUUGCAACAACUCGGCUGUGGAUCGGGUCCGAACGUUUUUCAUAAAAUUUUGAAAUCUAGUUCCAUGGAAAAACACUGAAAUCGAUUUUGUGGAAAUGUUAGAAAAUUAUUUUAAAUUUUGUUUUCAAAGUGCACAAAGAAUAAAUUUGAAUUUUACUAAGUGCACAAAGAAGUGGCACACUGAAUCCCCGGCACCAAGUCUGUAAGUACCUUUUCUGAACUUUACUAAGUAUUUGUUAUAUUACUGAGACUCUGCUAUGACAUUAUAGUUAGAGCUAGAGUGCACAGUAGAAGCAUAGUGGUUUGGCUUGAGUAAUACGGUUAGUUGAUAGUUUGAAAUUUCGAGGACGAAAUUUCUUUAAGGGGAGUAGAGUUGUAACGCCCCGAUUUUUGGGCCUGAAAGUAUUGGGCCUUGAGUCUGGGUCUGGGUAGAAGACGACCCGAAUAAUUUGGAUGUUAUUAUUAUUAUUAUUAUUUAUUAUUUCGUAUGUUUAGUUUAGUAAUUAAAUAAAUUACGAAGGGUUUAUGGUGUGGGAAAAGGUCCAGGGCUCGGCCCAUAGCUUUAGCAAAAUUCUUAAAUUUUGCCUCUUAAGGGAAUUUGGACAAUGGCCUUGUUAAUAAUUUGGGCUGAGUUUUAGCAUAAGCAGGCACCUGGCCCAGUGGCUAAGGACGCUAGGAGGGCGUGGGAGGUGCUUGGGUUCAAGGCACAGCGCGCGCAAAUUGGGUGUUUUAUUUUAAUAUGCAGAUGGCGGUUGAAAUAAGGGUUAAGAGGAAAUGCCAGCAUAAUUCAACACAAGGAGCGCCUGUGGCGCAGUGGCAGCAGCGUGCUGGGCACACAGAGAGGGGGCGGGUUCGAGUCCUUGCGCGGGUGAACUCCGUUUUAUUUUUGAAACGGGCCAGAACUGAAGAAGGUAAGGUUAUAAAAUAAUUGAGAGAGGAUUAUGUUAUGGAAGGAACCUCGGUGCAGUGGCAAGCAGUGUAUGUGUGUGUUUAGCAGGUCCUGGGUUCGAGAGGAACAGUAGGCAAAAUUUCUUUUUUAUUUCACAAGUAACCGGAGCUUCAGCAGGUAAGGUUUUAUAAAUAAUUGUAACCAUAUACUAGUAAAGAAUGAAGUGUGGUGCAGUGGCCAGCAGCACUGGCGUAAGUGUAAGGGUAGACGGAGGUUUGGGGUUCAAGUCUCACUUUGUUUUUAUUCAUAUUUUCUUUUCUUUUUCUUUUUCCCUCAUAGCUGAACCCAUACCCCUUUCUUUCUGUCUCUUCCCUUAUUUUACUUUCUUCAUUAUUUCUUAAAAGCCGAAUCUUAUUAUAGUCGAACCUCUAUUCGUUUCUUCCUUAAAAAGCUGAAACCUUCAUACCUGUGGUUUAGAAAGCCGAAUCUUUGGCUACUUGAACCUGUUUCUUCUAACUACAGUAGAUCGGGAUUAAUAUAAUAGAUAUGAGCAAUUUUCUGGGCUGAACAAUGAUUGGUAAGUUUAUCGAAUAAUUUCUGUUAAUUAUUUAUGAUUUAAGAUAAAAGACAGAACCCCUUAAGGGAGGCUAACGUUUGGACUAAGGGCGUUGGUGCCUCUUUCUUUUCCAUUGUAUAAUCAUUAGCGUGGACAAGGGGAUGUGCAGUGAAGGGUUUGAAGACUUCUUCGGAUUGGAUCUCUAGAUCUAAUCCAUAUUUCGGCAAAAAGGUAAGAACUCUAGGGUUAAGGGAUGUUGGCCGAAUUUGGUAAGGGGGAAUAGUACUUAGUUUGUUUUCAGUAUGUAGACUGAUGUUUAGUAACUCAAUUGUAGGCAACUCGUGAGUGGAUCUAUCCAGCGUACCAUUACAAAUCAGGUUUGUAAACGACACCCACUCAUAGACUAGAUUGGCAAAAGUCGAAAAGCUGAAAUGUUGAAAAGCCGUCAUUUUGUGAACUUGCGAGCGUGCGAUCGCUCGUGAGGUGGUUUGUUUGUUAAAUUUUGGUAAUCACAAGUGGUAUGAUUGCAGAGUGCGCAAUUUCGUGCACUUCGGCAUAUUUGGGCUUAAUGGGCCGAAAACGGGUUAGUGGGCCAACGGGCCCAAUUCGGUAAAAACACUAGGUAGGUGUUUUUGUUAAUGUGUUAAUAACUGUAAUGAGCAUGAAACCCUAAAAAUACUGAUAAAAUUACUGAAAUACAUCUGUAAGGUAGAAUUACCGUAAUACCCCUAAAGGGGUAAGUUUACGAUUACGCCCCUUGAGGGUAAAUAACUGUUCUUACGCUAUAAUCUGACUAUCUUUCUGAAGCAUGUCUUGUUAAUUAUAUAUAUAUAUAUUCUGCAUACAUGUCAUACUGCAUGGGGUUGAGUUUUGUUAUUGAGGAAGAACCCGUUCUAGUGGCUGUGCCACAUAUUCUGAUAUAAGCAGCUUUGCUGCAGAUUAUAGUUAGUGCCGCAACAGUUGCUAACACUGUAAGUGUAAGGAUGGCGUGGGUGAUUUAUUCUCCACAGGAAGUGUAGGGAUGGACGGAAGCAAGUGCAGGGUUGGAUGGGGUUAUCAUGUGUUAAUCAUAUGAGACUGUUUUGUUAUGGGCCAACUGUAUUGAAAUGGGCCCAACUGUAUUGAUAUGGGCAAGGCCCAAUAUAUCUCGACUUGUAAUAGGGCUACGGCCCAGAUUAAUACUGAUAUGGGCUAGACCCAGUAUACUUUGAUACUGUAAGGGGCUAUGGCCAGAUUAAUAUUGAUAUGGUCUAAGGCCCAGUUAGCCCUGAUUUCUGAAUAGGGGUUAGGCCUAGUAAAGCUUGAACUGAUUUGGGCUCUCGUUGGGAUACUUUACACACUGAGUUUUCUAAACUCACCCCAUUUUUUUCCCAUCUUUGCAGGUGUGCCUUAGAUCGGUGGACUUGGAGCUGGAGGGAUUCAGAGUGGCCAUGUGGAUUGUUUAAAAUAAGUGUUUAUACCUUCACUUUUAUUUUAGAUUAUUUCCUUUAUGUUUUCGGGUUUUUAAUUUGUAAUAAGACCGCUUUAAUUAUUUUUUAAUUGUUUUUAGUAUGUUUUGUUAGCUUAGAUAUGAUAUUGUUUUAAUUGUUUGAAAUUGAAUAGCUCUAGGGCGCGUUUUCAAAAGAAAUUACCUGAUUUCAAAAUAUCGCGAAACAAGACAAAGCUUCCGCAACGAAAACAUUUUCAAAAUUUAAUAAGUGAUUUCAAAUGGAUAAAAACGAAACGGUUUCUUCUAAAUAAUCGCUCAAUUAAAGUGUGGCAUGGUUGUGUUCAUGUCUAGGAGUGGAUCCGUGGAGAGCUUGGUACUUAAGCAGUCUAAUAGACUCACCUCCUCUUUUCUAGCAUCCUACCUGGUGCACAGCUCCCAUUCACUUUAAUUUAAAACGAAAAUAUUCUUUGAACACUAAGAAAAAAAUUUAGAUAAGACAUGAGUUUUCAGUUACGCUUCAAUGUGACAUGCUGGAUUCGACCGUAACGUCUGGGUCGGGUUUGGGGUGUUACAGAAGUUAAAAAAGUUUUUGGUUAUUUUUUUUAUUUUGGAAGUAGAGGGUUCAAAACGGAGAAAAAAUGGCUCUUUUCGUGUACUCCGACCAUUGUGGACGGCGGCCGCCACGGUGGUCCGGUGAUCGGACCUUGGCCGGAUGCUGGAAGAGGGGAUAGAGUUUGAGAGGUUUUUCCUUUGUUUUUUUUGAGAGGUGUUGAAAAGAGCAAAAAAAAAGAGUGUAAAUUUUGGUUUAAAUACUAGUACUAAAACGAUACUGUUUUGGGCUUUAUGCCCCAGAUGCAAAACGACGCCGUUUCAUCCCUACCCGCGUGUUGACCCGACCCGUCUAGGGGCAUCCACGUGUUUUGACCGAAUGGGCUUGUUGCACUUUUGGCCCUUCCGCUUUUUUAUCAAUUUGCAAUCAAGCUUCCUUUUAUUUGUAAUUCGUGCCCUAUAAUUUAUUUCAAUCAUCAAUUUAGUCCCACACAAAGUGACACGUUUUGGAGGGCAGGAAUAUUUAUUCCUCUAGUCCCUCCAUUUCAUUCGCGCACUGCAAUAUGGUCCUUUCCCUUUUAUUCCUCUCAGAUUUGCCCCGAAUUUUUGUUUUAAGUUCAAAUUGGUCCCUUUUUGUUAUUUUUGCUAUUUUAUUAACUGUUUAAUAUUAUUGUUACUAUAAUCAUAUUUUAUUUUUGUGCUUAUUUAUUUGCUACUAUCAUUAUAUUAUUAUAUUAGUAACUUUGUAUUAUUAUCAUUAUUAUAAUCAUAUUUUCUUUUUGUGUUUCUUUACUUAUUAUUACAUUAUUAAUUGAUCUAUUAUUACUAUUAUUAUUAUUUUCACUAUUACUAUUAUUUUCUAACAUUAUUAUUACUAUUACUAUUAUUUAUUUAUUUAUUUAUUUAUAUCAUUGUUGUUAUUAUUAUUAUUCCUGAUUUUAUUAUUAUUGGUGUAUUAUUAUUAUUAUUCUUCAUUUUAUUAUUAUUUUCUAUUUUAUCAUUUAUUAUUAUUAUUUAUUAUCAAUAUUAUUAUUAUCAUUGCUAUUUUUAUUUUCAUUACUAUCAUUAUUAUUAUUUACUAUUAUUUAUUAUCAUUAUUAUCACCAUUUCCUACUAUUAUUAUUAUUAUUAUCAUCAUUAUUAUUUAUUUGUUUACAUAUGUUUUAUUACAAAUUGUGUCUUUAACUUCAUUUAUCUUUUGAUUCUUUACUUUCAAUAUUUCUUUGUCUUUAUUAUAUUUCAAAACUGGUAUCGUCAUUUCAUGUGCGUGAUUUAUCAUUAGUGUUCUUGUCGUCAUCAUUGUUAUUAUUAUUUAUUUUGUUUUCCUUUGAUGGUUAAUACUGGAAUUAAAGUGAUAUGCAUUAUGGAUUGCUUAUUAGUAUAUUUACAUUAUUGCCACUUAUUUGUGUAACAUUCGAUUCUUAUGCCAUUUUUAUAUUACGCUAAUUCUUACUCAAAUACACAAAAAUAAAAUUUUUAAAAUAAGGCAAUAUUCUGUGUUUGGAGAUUUGAAAGAUCGUGCCCUAACUUAUUGGGUUUCGAUUUUUCUUUGUUCGACCUAAAUGACCGAAUAACCUUUUGAAAUUAAAACGCAUGAAUUUUGAAAAUCAAAAAGCAAGCUUAUUCUCGAGGUUUUAAAAUGCUGUGUCCUAAUUUAUUGGAUGUGACAUUUUAUUACUUCGGGACAAGAAGGUCUUUAACAUCCGUUUCGAUUGAUGCAAGCAAAUUCUUUGUAAAAAAAUCAACAUUAAAAAGAAAGGAUCGUAUUUUUAAUUCUUUUCGAGUUUUUAAAUUUUUACAUUAAGACAUUAAUUAAUCAAUUUGGUACCAAUUUUGGGCGUGACAAGGGUUCUAAUCAUUCCUUGCACGUAACCGACUCCCGAACCCGUUUUCUCAAAUUUCGUAGACAAAAAUUGUUGUUUUAGCAAAUCGAAAUAUUUUAUUAAAAUAACCAAAUUUCUAAGUGAUCUGAUCACACCUAAAUAAAAAGAUUGAUAGCGACUUCCAAUUUUUGUUUUCUUUUCAAAAUAUAAAAUUGAUCCGUUUUAAAAAAAUAGUUUCGAGAGUAAGAAUGUUAGAUCCAAUCGGUUAAAGUAUCCUAUCCCAUUGAAUUUCUAAUUUCCAGCCAAUUGGGUGACUCAUUCUGUCUCGAUUAUGGAUUGAAUAUACACGGAUCCCACAACCCUUUAAAUGACGAGAGUUUCCCACUGCCACAGUUUAGAAAUUCUAUUUUAAAGAGAAGUGACAUUUACCUCAUUUACUCUUAUCGGUUUGUCAUGUUUUGAAUUUGAUCUAUUGCAAAAACUUUCUGAUCUCAUGAUGAGUUUUAUUCACUAUGACACCUUCGUUGACAACAUCCAUCAUAUUUCUUUCCAUGGGUAGGAGUCAUUCAUAAAAAUAUUGGAUGAAUAAUUGUUCCAAAAUUCUAUGUUGUGAGCAACUACCACAUAAUUGCUUAAAUCUCCUAAUACUCGUGAAGAGUCUCCAUACCGUUUUGCUUGAUGCCGUAACUUUUUCCUAGUAGAAAUAGCACAUGACGUAAAAAAAAAUCCGAAAAUAAUCUUAUCAUGUCAAUCCAUGUAGUAAUAGAUCCAGGAGGUAGAUAAUAUAGCCAAUCCUUCACCUUGUUGGCUAGUGAAAAGGUGAAGUCUCUUAGUUUGGUUUGUUCUUUGAUCACUCAUUGUCGUCUCAUAAUAGAACACACUACACCACAUGAAAAUCAUUCAAGUGCUUACGAGGAUCUUUGUUUUUUUGACCACAAAAACUGUUAGUACAAAUAUCCGGUGAGAAAAAUCUCGAACACACGAACAGAACUCGAAAGAAGAAGAAAUAGGACAAGGCUCCAAGGCGUGUAUCAAACCACUUUCUCUAAGAUUAUAUUCGCCCCCACCUAUCUUUGGUGUACAAAUGAGUUCCAAGCAAAUUAACCUUGAUGAUACAAUGAAGCCAAUGACUAUUAGCGUUUUGUACUGACGAGAAUAGCCCACUACACACUGAGCAAUGUAUGACAAGAAACUCAAUUUCUAUAAAGGAUUUUUGCAGUAAUACUUUAUAGAAUAAUCUAAUGAUAUUAGAAAAUGAAGAAAGGAAAGAAAGAAUAUUAGAAUUUGUUGGUAUGAUUUCCAAAUGAAAUCUCAUUCUAUUUAUAGGAAUUUUCAUGUCUCUUCAUAAAGACAUCUUUCAUCAAUAGGUGUCUUUCUGAAUAAUAAUGUCUUUAAAAUAAACACAUAAUUAUUCAAUUAAUUAUAACUAUUCAAAUAAUAUUAUUUAAAUAGUUAUAAUUCUUUUUCAAAAAAUCAAAUAAUAUAAUCUUUUGAUUAAUUACACCCAUUCAUUUAUAGUUGUAAAUAUUUGAAAAUGUUCCAACAAAAAGUAGGCAAUAAAUGAUUUAGUCCAGAUUUUAAUUCAAAAGAUACUUCUAAUCCUAGAUAUUCAAUGCACAACAGUUGUUGCUUCAGAUUUAUUUAAGAGAGAAAUUGGUUAUUCUCCUUUUGAUUCGGUAGAUGAAUCGACUGAAUUGUUCUAUGUAUCUAGUUGGGUAAUGAAGAUGGUUGGUUAGUUCUUGCUCGAACUCUCUUCCUUAGUCUUCGAGCAGUUCUCUCAAACUCAGGAUUGUACAAGAGUUCACCUGCACGAGAAGAUUAAAAUUUUAAUUUUAAUAAAUAUAUUUAAUACUGAGAAAAAAAGAAGAUCAAAACAUAAAAAUGAACAAAAAUUAAAUUAAAUUAAAAACAAGAAAGAGAUAAAAUUAUUAACAUUAAUAUAUGAUAAAAAGGUUAAAAUCUGUACAAUUGUUGAGACCUAUAAAAAUAAAAUCCUACUAAAAAAUAUAAAUUUAGUACAUAACAUUGAGUAGAGUCGUAUUCAUAGAUAUUGAUAAUAACUUUAUUUUUAAAACAAAAACAAGGAAAGUAAAUAUGAUGGAGAUUUUAGAAAAUAAAAAGCUAAAUUUAAAUUUAAAUCUUAACCAAGAAGGCAAUAAUAAAAAUUAUCAAUGAGAUGGAGCUCUAGCCAAUUGUAAAAUAUCUGUUUGAUUCACAAGUUUAAUCAUUGAUGGAAAGAUAAUUCCAUUGUUCUUUAAUAGAUUAGUUCAAAGUUGCCAAUGUCGUACCUAGCAAUCAGUCUCUCCUUAAUUUAUCGAUAACCAAGAGAAAGCUGUUGAAAUUAAUCUUCUUAUCAAUGAACAACCCUAUAACCUCACGUUUAGAAUUUAACUUACCGAUAGAGUUAUAAACGAGAGAGACCUAAUUUUAACCAAAAAAACACACAAGUAGGAUUUAUUUAAAUUAGAUUGCAUUCCCACACAACAUUGAUUGCAUACACAGUUACAGUAUUUAAAUUAGCUCCAUUGGCCAUGGAUUCUACAAGUUGUGUUGACAUUGAUGAUUUUUUUUAUGCUAUUGGUGAUGUCUGUAUUGUCAAAGCGUCAGGUAGAAUGUAUAACAGAUGGCUUGACCAUUGCUGACUUUUACCAAUCCAGCAUGUUUUAAAACUUGGUGGUAGUUGCUGCUACUGGUUAUGUAUUGAGUUGCUGGGAUGCUAGUUAUGUUUUAUUCUGCUGUUGGAAACAUGGUUUGUUGUUGGGGAUUUUUUUGUUGUCAGAUUUACUAUGUUAUGGUUCCUGGUUUAUUGUUUGAUGACUUGAUGGAUGGACGCAGAAGUUGGAGAAAACAUAAGAGUAUAAAUUGAGUCAAAAGAUAAAAUAGUAAAGGCCAUUCUGUUUUAUUUUUCCAUAAUAUUAUACAAACAGUCAACCAUGUAUAUACACAUGGCACUGACAUGAUUGUGAAGGCCUACACACUUUCUAAUGGUUGUACUGGCUAUCAAAAUUUAUUACCAUAACAGUAGUACGGGUAAUGAAGCAGCAGGCAGCUCGUUAUUAUUUAAUUUUGAUAGCCUUAACUACCAGCAUAGCUUGAUGAAGAAGCAAAGGCAGUUAUGCCUCUAACUCAAAUGAUGCCUUCAUUGUGGGUGAACGGCUCACGGGAUCAAUUUCAAUAGAUGCAAUGUACCCAAACUUUGUAACUUUAAAUUUUGGUUUUCCUCUUUUCUCAAGGUUGGUUUUGAUUUGCCCCCAGUGAAUAGGUUGCCUUUGGAUAUCAGUAUAGACCUGCAGCAUGCACGCAAAUGGCAUGCAAAUGGUCAUAGAUUAAAUGAUUAUAUAUACGCAUUCUAACUAGUUAAUUAAUGAUAAGAUUGAAUUGAAUGCAACAUAUACCUUGCUGUUCUCAUCUAGUGGGUUGCUCCAGGCAACAACCCACUUAGUUCCAUCACGUCGCCUGUACACAAGACCAGCAACUGAACCCUGACUAUCAGCAUCAUCAGUCACUGAUUCAUGUGUAAACUCACUCGCAUCUCCAUCUUCAAUUAUUUCGGGGAAAUCCGCAUAAUGAGAGCCUUGCCAAACUUUCUUGUCAGUCAAGGUUAGAGCUUCGCUGGAAGAGUUCCAAAGCUUGCCGUUUGUGGUUUGUUGAGCAGUUUUCUGAGAAGUAGCCAUGGUAGCUUUCUAUGUGCUUUGGUUUGGUUGUG
This 48048-nucleotide long non-coding RNA is filed under the name Gossypium barbadense (sea-island cotton). Its description in RNAcentral is "long non-coding RNA (GBAR_LNC002996)". The record is from RNAcentral. Lineage: Eukaryota; Viridiplantae; Streptophyta; Magnoliopsida; Malvales; Malvaceae.